RNAcentral lists this long non-coding RNA (66270 nucleotides) under Oryza sativa (Asian cultivated rice). RNAcentral's name for it is "long non-coding RNA (OSAT_LNC000098)". The stretch from base 31238 to 31442 matches the Rfam family "MIR812 microRNA precursor family". The record is from RNAcentral. Lineage: Eukaryota; Viridiplantae; Streptophyta; Magnoliopsida; Poales; Poaceae.
UUUUUUUUUUUUGCCACGUCAAACGAAACCAGGGACUAUACUGCCGAGGGACCUUAUUUGCACGGGUUUUAUAAGUUGGGGAUGCGUUGUAUCUGGUUUUGUGCUGCAGGGACGAAAAUCGGACUAAGAGACAAAUAAAGGGACCUAAAGUGAACUUAUGCCUUCUUUGUUACAGUUUGUCAGCGCUGCUGCUGAGACGGCCCAGGCCCACGGCCCACAUUCCUCCUCUCUCUUUCUCUCUCGCUUCUCCAACGCCACACAGCGAGAAAAAAACGCAACAACGCUGGCGACCUUCCUGACGACGCCGACGAGCUCGACCUCCCCGACGGUGAGGCGAUCCAGGUCAGCUCCGCGCCUCCUCCUCCUCCUCCUCCUCCACAUCCCCUCGCCCCGCCCCUCCGCCGCCGCCGCCGCCGGUCCUCUGCCUCCCAGGCCAUCCCUCUAAGACCAUGGAAUCCAUCCCCCACUUCCUCUCCCCCGGAAACCCUAAACCCAAACCCCCAUUGCCGCGUUCAGACAUUCGCGGAUUAAGGUUUUCGGGCCUAGUGGGACGUGGUGUUUGGAGCUGCCACUCACUUUCUCAGAUAGUGUUUGGAGCUUGGUUCUGAUUAACAUUGAUGCAUACAGGCGUUUUCAGGAUGGGCAGUGAGGACACAAAAGAUAUGCUGAAGAAUGUGGACUGGAAAACAGUUGGUGGUUCGGUGAGCACCGACCCAAGCCAACCAGUUGUUAAAAAGCGUCUCCCGAAGAAAAUCAGACAAGUUCCUGAAUGCUAUUUUCUGCCUCGGCGAUCUUUGCCUUCUGCAUUGGCAAUCUAUGGCGCUGCGUGUGCUGCUGGAGUUGGCGCAGGGAUGCUGCUUGAGGUUUGGAUAAACAAAAAGAUCAAAGGUGCAUUCUUGUUUUAUUUGGUAGCAGGAGGGGCCAUUCAACUUAGGAAAAGUCUAUACGUACUAACUUUUUCUUACUAAAUUUUUACUAACACUGACAUGUCAUGCUAUGAGUCCAUCUAGAUUUUUUAUAACUUCCAUCUGCUUAAAUCAAACGGUUGAUAUGAUUGUUAGUACAAAUUUAGUAAGAAAAAAUUAGUACGUGUAGCAGUGCUCUUCAACUUACGUUCUUGCAAAGUAACUGUUUUCUUGAAAACUUAUGAUGUUGUAUUAUACAAUUGAAAGCAUUACUCUUCUUUUGUCUUGGAUAAUGUUGGGUUGAACAAUUGAAAGCAUGUAACACCUUUUUGUUUGUUGCCUGUAUAUUUUUGUACAUAUACUUACUCUUCUUACUUGCUGAUGCAGAGGACAGUGCCAUUGUCUGGGAAAUGGGCAAAUGAUUUGAUUGCUACCUCUGAAGAGUUCUCCUUGCUCGUGUUCAGCUGCUAAAGCUGCAUCUCAGAAAUAAUCUUAGCUAUAUUGGUUCUGAUUAUCUUUUGAUUCCCAGACAAAGUAAAACUAUCCUUUCUAAUGUAUGACACUGCCUUACAUCUACAUUUCUGGUUUCAUUUUGAAUGCUAGCAUAACAGUAUGGUGUAACAGGAAAUAUCAGAAAUAACGGUGUUACGGAAUGAGCCAUUUCUGUUUGGCAUUAUCAGUUGUACGAAUUAAUUGAUUGUGUGGACAGUGGUAGUUACAUGCUCUGAUGGAAAUAUCAAAAAUCAUUUGGCCUACAAAGUUAUGAAGUGUGCUCUCUGCUCAAACAAAAGAUUUUGAUAUCUGUAUGAGGAAGCCUCCAGCGUAUCUACGCUAGUAAACAUUUUUGGGGGUUCUCAAUUCCUUCCCGUACUCUGAUUAUGAAUGUAAACUUGCCUGCUAAUGAAUAGAAUGUCCGAUUUUUAUCUAAAAAAAUAGAAAAACAUUUUUCUUUUCAACAAAAAUGGAUCCUAUAGAUCAAAACAAAGGGCAGCUAGAGACGCAUGCCUCAUGAAAACAAAACUGCGAUUAUAAAACAGAACUGUACUAGAUUCUAAACAUUAUGAAACUGUGUGCAUUACAGCAGAACAUUGAAGCUUUUCAAGCGUCACGUCCAGAUUAGCUUCACUGAUUAAUGCUUCACAUAUCAGGACACACUGGCAAUGAAGAAGCAGUUUGCACUAAGCCAGCAGCAUCUACAGUGUCACUACUCGCUACUACUAGACUAUUUCUACAGGCGAGCUGCCAAAUGCACUCUCCACUUCUCCUAAAUUUAGCUUCAGCUUCAAGGAACUAUUUGGUAGAGCUCCAACUUCUAAAUUUAGCUCCUCCGGCUGUGUUUAGUUCAGCGCAAAGUUUGGAUUUUGGUUGAAAUUGAAGAUGAUGUGACUAAAGUUGUGUAUGACAGGUUGAUGUGAUGGAAAAGGACUGAAGUUUGGAUCCAAACUUUGGAUCUAAACACAGCCUAAAUUUAGCUUCAGCUUCAAAGACCUGUUUGGUAGAACUCCAACUUCUAAAUUUAGCUUAAGUCUAAAGUGGAGUUGUUUAUUUUAUGAUAGCGUUCCACCCAGCUCUGCUCUCAUUUUAGGUGAAGCUGAAACUGUUUAGCUGAGCUCCAGCUACAGGAAAGGUUAAGAUGAAGCUGAAGUUGUGCCAAACAGGCCCUUGAUCUCAAGCAACAACGGACAAUUCGCAGUAAUUAAAUGAAGGAUAACAGAAGCAUGAAAAUGACUUCAUCUAUACUACCAUUUCAGUAUUCCAGCAAGACUUUCAUUAAAUAAGCAUCUCUUGUCCGUUACAAUGUGCCUUGCUCCCAGUAUAGACACAUAUGUACUUAUGUAGUUUCGAGUCUCAUGUCCGUUGAAUAUAUAGAUAUAUAAUAUAUGACAAUAUACAGAACCAAAAAAAAAAGGGAAAAAGACGAACUCCGGAAGCUGGACGAGCAAAAUCCAGUAGCUUCUGCAUGUAUAAACCUCCUUGCCUGAGAAUUAUUUACCGAGGGAAUGGAUCCGAGUCUCCCAGUGCCGCGAACUGCCGAUGAGAACUAUCGAGCCUGACAUUCAAAAACCUUCCUUUUCUUUCCCGUUUCAGAGAACAGAAGAACGCAAAAAUUGCAAGUGAAUCGAGCUUGCCUGUAACCUAUGAAUGCUUUAUUGAGAUGGCAGAGAAACACCACCCUCGCCGAGCCUUCUCUACAGAGGCCACAGCUUUUUAUUCACAUUGGAGGGGCCUAUCAUAACUGAUGUGGAAAUGUGCAGAAUAGAUUGCAUUAGCACUUUAGCGGCGCCACAUAUAGUAUAAUAAGGGGGAAAUCAAGGAGAAUUCAAACCAACCUGUGUCAAGUGAUUGAAAAAUUGUGCUGAGAUCUCUCAGCUCAGAAAAAUCAGCGACCACCGCCAGGACUCGAGCUACCACCAGAUGUUGUGUUAGUCUGAGCACGCAUCAUGGUGUCUGCUGGGAAAACCCCUUUCGGCAAUAUUGAUCCAACAGGCUCGGAUGCUGCCACUGGCGAUGUUACUUGGUUGACAGAUUGGUCUUUGGUCGAAAUGUAUUCUGGCCUUAAAUCCGGGGAAGGCGAAGACGGAGCCAAUGUGGCAAUAGAGAAGCCAAUAGGAUAUGGGGCAAUUGGCAUAUCAGAGAGGGGCAAAGCAGACGGACUGUAGCCAAGCGUGCCCAUUGGGUGAUCAUACUUGCAUGCAACUCCAUAUCUGCAAUACCCAUUUUGGGCAUAGUAUGCACAAGGCUGAGCCCCCUGCAAGUUGAGAUAACACAAGCAGCUUAGCAAGAAACCAAGGAGCAUUUUCUCUACAAAAAAGCAAAGACAAAAACAUAGGUCUAUGUGCAAUCACCAAUCAACUUCUUCCAAACAUACUAUGCAAGCCUGACACUAUAGAUGAUUAAUGCACGAAUGUGCUGUCUCCUAGCAUAAAUUUUAAGAACUGUGUAAACCUUUUGGGCAGUGCAAACUAAUUCAGGAUAUCACACUGAAAAACAAUUAGUAUGAGUUUGCAACUAAAGAAGGGGAUCUUACAAGACCUCCAAACUAAUUAUAGAAAAGAAAGUAAUAUCACCAAUGGAUAUUUUUAACAAUAUAGGACAUAUUUCCCUACAAAGCAAGUUAAAUCAGACACUAGCAUUUGAAAUUAUGCGUAUUAGGCUAUUUAAAGUCCAUGUAUCUGUUGAAGUUUGCGCUUCACUCAGAUAGUGAUCUCUGAUUUAUGGGAAUAUUUGGGAGCCCCUGUUUCUAUAACUUGCUGAGUUACACUGACGUGUGGGCCAAACAUGGCUCAUCCUCACAUUCAAUGUUAUUUUCAAUUUAUACAUGCUCAGUGUUAUUGAGUAAGUUUUCCCUCUGAAAUAUUAUAAAUGCUUAUUAAGUCAAAAAAAAACAUUAUGAAUGCUUCAUCCAAUAACAAUUUAAGCUGCAAAUAGCUUCAAAACUCAGGAGCUAAGUUUGAACAAUGUAUCUUACUUGAUACAUUCAAGUUUCAACCAAUCUUUGGCCCAUAAAAGUUAUAUACUAGUAGAUGACAAUAUAACACAGUUAAUAUUUAUCAGCUAACCAAAAUUAUUAAGUAAUCAACUAUGUUCCAUGAUCUCAUAAUCCCUAAAUACUCAGCAUAAGAAAGCUUACAAUGCCUAAUUGCCCAAUAAUCUGCUUCUUCUUUUUGUGAUUACAAGAAAGAUGCACAUGUGCACACACACAGAAACAUGAGCACAUGCAUAAGUGCGCCUCCUUUUAACACAUACUCAAACACACAGGCCAAGGAUAAAUCCAUGAACCUCAAUAAAAUUCCUAGUGAAAGUGCACAUAGAGAACAUUAUCGUUAGGAGGCUUCAACGAGUAGUGGACAUAAUCAUAUGACUAGUUCCUACAACCUGUUUUUCAAAACAAAAAUAUAUGUGCAGCCUUUUUUUUUAAAAAAAAAAGAAAAAACAUGGACAUUAGGACUAUGGAAGUUCAACCCCACUCCCAAGGACAUUGAUGCUACGGUACGUAUUAGAGGUUUCAGGGUACUCACCGGACGAAGUGGAAGACAAAGGGAGUUGACCAUAUAGCCUGAUUUAGGUGCACUCAACUCUCGGGGGUGAUGAUAUUUACAUGUAGCUCCAAAUUUGCAAUCUCCUGUUCUCAUAUAAUAUUGACAAUCAGGCUGCCCUGGCCGCUCAGGGAAUCCAUGUUCUUGUUGAUUGUUGCUUGAUUGUCCAGUUGAGGAAGCAUAUGGAACGUAAGGACCACCAUAAGCAAUUGUAGAGGAAGAUCCAUGGUGCCCCAUGCCGUACACAGGUCCAGCUUGAACAUUUUGUUGAGCUCCACCUGACACUACAGGGUUUACCGAAGCCUGUAUAAAAUAGAAGAGUUAAAACCACAAUGAGAAGACUCCAUCAUGGCAUGUGUCAAUUAUUUUGUCCCAUCUGAUUGUUUGCUUAACACUUAAACACUGGCUGGUUAUUCAGGCAGCACAUCAGUGAGUGCCUUCCAGCUCUUGCCUAAAAGACAAUAAGCACAUUCUACAUCUUUCAGUCUAGAUUACAAAGAACCUGCUUCACAAAUCAUGACACAAGUAUGCUGUCGUGCCUCAUUUGUUGAUUCACUUUGCAUUUCAUAGUAUAAGUUGGCUGUCAUGUCCAAUUUGUUUAUCAGUUUUGCAUUUAUAGGUAUGCUGUUUAUUUUUCCACAAUAGAACAUGUAAUUCAAAUCAAUUACCGGAUAAGGGCUCCAUCCUUGCAAUGGGAUCAUUCCAGAUGAGAGCAUCAUUGGGGUGUAUGAGCCUGGUAUAUAUGAUCCAGGAACUACAGGUGGUCUCCCCAUUUGCCAAUUUGCAAGAGAAGCAUAUGGAUGAGGGGAAGCUAUAGAUGGAGACUGUAAUGGUGGGUAUAUUCCAGGGGUCAUCGGAACACCACCGAAUUCCGGAUGAUGGAAUUUACAUGUAGUUCCAAAUUUACAUUGCCCAGUUUUCAUGUAGUAGGAGCACUCCUUCUCACCCUGCAUUUUAUUUGUACCAACAUCUCUUUUUCAAAACAGGAAAAACAAGUGUAUGAAUAAGCAAUAUUUUACGAGAGAUUUCACACCAGGCGUAUAGGGAAUCCACUGUUGUUUAACAUAACAGGUAGCACAGCUCCAUCUUGCUUAGGAUGGUGAUAUUUGCAAUUGGUACCAAAUUUGCAAGUCCCAGUCUUCAUGUAAUACUGUAAAACAAGGAAAAAGAAUUAGGACCAACAUUUACAUGUCAUAUGACAUGACAUUAAAAUUGUUAUGUGCUUAACAAUCUCAGCCAAUUAUUAUUUGAGUAUUAUGUUGCAUGCCCUGCCUGCCUGCCAGUUAGCAAGCAAAGAACACAUGGUGUUAAUGCAAGCUUAAGUGAUGGCGGGUGCCUUUUUCGUUGCAUAAAAGAUAAUUGAAUUCAAGCACCAAGCUGUUUAGUUUGAGUACCUCGCAUAUAGGUUGACCCGCCCUUUCUGGAUAAUCCAAUGCUGCUGCAUUCCUUGCACCUCCACCAAACUACAUUUUGAAAAAAUAGCAACUACUUAAUUUUGAUGUUCCAAAAUCAAGCGAAGCUUUACUACCUAUAGACUAGCAUAGGCAAAUAUGGCAUCCCAUGCGCACAGACAAACUAAUCAAUUUCUUAACGAAAACAGAAACAUGGAAAGUAGAUAGGCUAUCAAUAGACAUGAGUUUCAUAAAUCAUUUAGAAAGAUCACAGUUGCAACAGAAGAAUGUAAACUUAUAACAAGAACUACUGAAUAGUUGCUAUAUCUUUUGCAAACCCAACAAGUGAGAAAUUCACAAAAUCAGGAUAGAGGGUAAACUAUCAGCCAAAAGCCAAAUAUGCUAAACAAAGGACUUUGCUAACCAACGGUAAGAAAACAGGCAAGAAAGAUUUUCAUGUCAAUAAUCAUUGAUCCUAGAUGUCUUUGUUGACACAUUUGAUUUAAUCAACCAAAUUAAUGACAACGGAAUGGGAAAAGAAGGAUAUUUUUUAUUAUGUUAUCAGAAUCAACAACUGAUCUUACUUAAAGAAAGAUUGAGCACAGAAGUUUGCCAUCUGCAGAUGCAUGUAGUCUGACCCAGUACAAUACAAUCCAAUUAAGCAAAAUUAGCAAACACAAAACACCCAAAAAAGCAGAAUAAGUAAACAUGAAGCGGCCAAUAAAGCAGGCAACCUACAGCUUUCUGCUUUCAAAGGGAUAUCCAAGUGCUUUAACUUGCAGAGGUGCACCUCCACCGCGAACCCAAACUCUAAUGCUGCUACCCGAUGAGUGCUACCGAUGCGCCGGACAAGAUCUAGGCAGUGGCAUGCCCAAUUUUCAAGCUACAGAAGAACUACAUUUACAUUGGCCGAAUCAAUGUUCCCCAUGGCACGAUCCUCACUUGGGCACUAAGCUGAUCACAUGGUUAAUCCAUCCACCCUAGAGCUGCCUCAUCCACGCACGCGCGCGCGCGCAAGCCGCAACGAACCAGAUCGGGAAGGGAAGCGCGAAUUAGGAGACUCACCUCAGUGCCGCCGCGAUCGCGCGGGUGGUUGUAGCGGCAGCGGUCACCGAAGCCGCACGCGCCGGUGCGGAGGUAGUAGACACAGUCCUCCUCCCCGGGCCGCUCCGGCAGCCUCCCCGCCGCGUCCCCAUCCCCUCCUCCUCCACCUCCACCUCCCCCGCCUCCUCCUCCCAGCCCCAUCCUCCACAUCGGCCCUGCAACCACAACCAACAAAACCAAAACCAAAACGCAGCUGCUCAUCCACCACCCCCGCCACACAGAUCCCGCGCCACCCCCGUACGGACGCCGAGAUCUACAUCCUCGAGCUCCAAACACAAAAAAGCACACAACGAGCACGCACGCACGCACCUUCCAGGCCGGUGUCGGGGCUAGCCCCGCCCUCCCCCUCCCCUCCACCAGCUGCGGCGGCGGCGGCGUGCGGCUGCUCCAUGCCUUCGUCGGCGUCAGCGGCGGCGAUCGGGGCGGGGAGCGAUCGGAGUGGGAGGAGGAGGAGAUCGGGGGUGAGGUUUUGUUUCCUCUUAUUCUCUCUCCUCUCUCUCUCUCUCUUUCUCGCGUUUCCUUUCCUUCCACCACCACUCUGGUGUGGUGUGGCUACUGCUCUUUUCUCUCUCUCUCCUCGUUUUUUUUCCUCCCUUUCCUUGCCUUUUUUUCCGCUGGUUUUUUGCAGCACCUGUCCGGGUUUCACACGGGGUUGGUUUCUUCUGUUUUUCUCUUUUUCUUUCUAAAAAAAAGAAUUCACUUUUUAUUAGUAUAUAUACUACUCUCUCCUUUUAAGGUUAAAAAACGUUUUAACUUUGGUCAAAGUUAAACUAUUUUAAGUUUAACUAAUUUUAUAUACAAAUAUAAUAAUAUUUAUAAUACCUUAAAUUAAUAAUUGAAUAUAUUUUCAUAAUAAAUUUAUCUUAGAUUGAAAAUGUUAUUGUUUUUAUUUUUUAAACUGAGUUAAACUUAAAAUAGUUCAAAACGUCUUAUAACCUGAAAUGGUGAGUAUCUUUUUUUGUUUUUCUUUUAAAUUUAAUGGGAGUUGGGAUGGGGGUGCAAAGGACCACGCCUGAUCAAGGGGUGGAUCUAUCACUCACUUCACAUGUGGGGAUUGAUGGUGAUUUUUUUUUUCCUCUUUCUUCGUUGCAUAAAUGUGGGGGGAUGGAGGCGGUAACGGUUGGAGUUAUAUUAAGCUUCAUUUGCUUUUUGCUAGGAUGUUUUAUGGUAAUUGAGUGUGGGGUGUGGAGGAGGUGAGUUAUGUGAUAAUUACUUCGAGGUAUCCAUAAUCCAUGUCAUGUGUUUGGGACUAUCCUAUUCGCGUGACCGAAAGAGUGAUAUAUGUGUGAUGCAUGUCGCUGGCGUCAUGGAAAUAGUGGACACGAGCAAGCGGGCUGUGUGUUUGUGUGUAGUAGAGGCCAUGUGUUGUUUUUAUGUGCAUUGUUUUUUGCUUAUUCGUGUGACCAAAAAGGUGAUAUAUGUGUAAUGUGUGUCGCUGACGUCACGAAAUGGUGUAAAUGGGCGUGCUUUAUGUAUUUGGGUGUACGAGCGAUGUGUUGUUUUUUUUGUCAUGUCAUCUAUUGUUUCGCGUGUUAUCUCUGGGUCUUGAUUGUGUCCUAAUUAAAUUUUCUUUUUUUAUUGUUAUGUAUUUUCUUCGUAACCAUAAAAGGUUAAUUUGCACGUCAUAAAUAGAUAUAUGUUAUGUUGAGUUUUGGUUAUCUCGUUGCCGCAUGGACCCCGCAUUCCUAUGGUAACCUUUAAUAGCCGUCAUCGGAACUACGACACGGUUGAUCACAUCCUUGUGCUAGUCAUGACGUUACUAGCCUACACGUGGACAAAAGGAUAUAUUAACAGGGACGACACGACUACCGUGUACUCCAUACAUCUCUAAUUCGAUUUAUAUAGUUUAUACUACAUAACUACCCGCGUGUUGUUGUGAGAGUUUAGUAUAAUAGCAAUAAAUACAAAUAAUAUGUGAGAACUAGAUGACAUAAGUUUAUAUAAGUCGAUGUAAUUUACAAUAAUUUAAAAAGUAUAUAGAAUGGUGUUCAAAUGUAAAAGUAAAGUGACGUGGCUUUACGAGAAAAAAAAAAGAGAACGGUAGUUUGGACUAUAGAUUAAUCAUCUAAGAGCUAAAAAUAAUUGUGAUGAUAUGGUUUUAUGAGAUGAGAAAAUGAUGAAGAUAAUUUAGACCACAGAUUAAUUAUUUAAGGGCUAAAACAAUUGAGAUGAUAUGUCUUAAUAAGAGAAGAAAAAAGAGAGAUAAUUUGGACCAUAGAUUAAUCAUCUAAGGGCUAAAAAUAAUUAAUAUGAUAUGGUUUAAUGGGAGAAGAGAGAAAUAUCAUUAACUAAGUGAUAAUGAAAAGAUAUAUUGACAUAUUGUGUGAAUUAUGUGUGAUGAUGAUUUAACAUGCUUGUAUUUUAAAGCUCUGAAAUUUAACAAAUUAUAGAAUUAUAAAUAAUAUAUCAUGCUUGUAUAAUGUUUAAAAUAUAAUAAUUGUUAAUGAAUUAUGAUGUGGUAUUUUGAGUUUUAGAAUUUAGUGGCUUAUAACUUUAUUGUAAAAUAUGAUACUCAAUAAAAAAAUUCGCAAUCCUGCGGUAGGUGUUGUUUUUACAUAUGCGUAGAAUGAGAUGUAAUUUAGCGCUAAAAUUAGUUUAAAAAUUAAUAAUUAUUAAGCACAUGGUACGGCAUGACUCUUUACUGUAGUACAUGGCCCAACCAACCCCAAGUCUCUUAUUCGCUUGUGAUCAAAUCAACUAUACUCACAUGUGGAAAGCACGCUUGUUUUCUAGCACAACGAACUAAGGAAUAAUUAUUUCCCUACGUCUCAACGGCAAAUCUACCACGAUCGAUUCUCUUCCAAGAAAAAUUAACUAGUCUAAUCCACUAGUUUAGCCAUAAACUUUGGUCCUGUUAUUUUCUCAUAAAGAUUAAGAUUUUACCUCGGUUUCCAUUACUACUAAACGGUAUAUUUCGUGCGAAAACUUUCUAUAAAAAAAGUUAUUUUAAAAUAUCAAAUAUAUCUAUUUAUAAUAAUUAAAACUUAAUUAAUAAUAAGUUCAUAACUUUUUCUCGUUUUAACUUUAUCUUUAUCGUCAUGAGUUUCGAACCCAACCAAAAUAUCACCGGCCUGGGGAAGUUGUAUACUCGUAUAGGCCACCUUCGGCAACCGAUUUUCAUUUCCCUUAGAGGAUAUUUUUUUCCAAACUAUGCCAUCUGUGUCGAUUUAUUAAUCAAAAAGAAAAAAAAUCACCGGCCAAGAUUACUACAGCUAAAAUGCCAAUAGGUAGCUUGCACUUUCUGUAUGUCAAUCAAAAGCAUCAUUCUGCUGCAUUGCCCUGAAAGCAUCACACACAAACACAUAUAUACUCCUACUGUUCUUGAUACUGGCAAAAAGUCAACUAAUCUCAUCAUGCCACCACAAAUCCACCAUCCAUACAUGCACUCGCUCACUAGGCCCCGUUCAGAUCUCACCUCAAAUUUUUCACCAUAUCACAUCGAACGUAUAAACACCUACAUAAAAUAUUUAAUAUAGGCUAAAAAAUAACUAAUUACACAGAUUACAAGUAAUUUACGAGACGAAUCUUUUAAGCCUAAUUGCUCCAUAAUUUGAUAAUGUGAUGCUACCGUAAACAUGUGCUAAUAACAGAUUAAUUAGGCUUGAUAAAUUCGUCUUGCUAUUUACUAACGGAAUAUGUAACUAGUUUUUUUUUUAUUAAUGGCCGAACACCCCAUACAGCAUCCUAUAUAAUACCUGAUGUGACACGCUAAAAUUUUACACCGUUGCAUCUAAACCCCUCACUAACCCCCGGCCAGCAUCACCUACUCUACUCUACCUCAACGCACCAACCAACCGCCGAAAAGAAAGAAAGAAAAGAAUCCGUCAAGAAAAGGAGCGUGACGUGAGAAGCAAGGAAGCAAACGGGGUAUGUACCGUUACGAUAGUUUGUGUGUGUGUGUGUGUGAGAGAGAGAGAGAGAGGGGGGGGGAGAGGGAGAGUGAGAUGUGGCGCACGUGCACGGGGGGCGUGGGGGCAUUUUAUUUAUUUGUUUAUUUUGUUGAUGAUUGACACGUAUAGUACCCCAAGUACUCCUACGGGGGCCCGUGGGCGGCCGCAUCCUAUGCCCGAAUUUUCAUCGAGCCAGGCGUGCGGGUUUGUCCUCGUUAACUAAUUCAUUAAUUAAUUACUCCCUCAGUCCCCUUAAAAGGGAUACUUGUACUGAUUGAUCAUUCGUCUUAUUUAAAAAAAAUUAGAAUUAUUUUUUUUUAUUUGUGACUUACUUUAUUAUCUAAUGUACUUUAAGCUUAACUUUUCGGGUUUUAUACUUACACAAAUUUUUAAAAUAAGAUAAGUGAUCAAACAGUGCAAACAAAAUGUCAAAAUCCCUUAUAUUAAGGGAUAGAGGGAGUAGCUUAUUAUCUUAUUUGGUUUCAUGGGCUGAUCCAAACAGGUGGGCUAAUUCAUUAGCCCAUACAAGAGGUACUAAUGGGCUAAUUUUCUAUAGGGACUUAAAAAAAGCAGUUAUCUCUCUCCUAUCUCUCUAAUCUCUCGCCACAUUUUAGUCCUGAAUUAGCCUAUGGUUCCAAACAUGUCACUCUAAGCUAAUGUUUAGCCUACCGAUUCAAGACUAAACAUUAGCUCUCAAAAUUAGUCCUGGGCUAAUCUUCCAAAUAGGGCCAAUUUGGAUGUUGUAUAGAGGAGCGCAUGUGCAUGCCGUUGGUUAGUCGAUACGUUGUUGAGGUGGUGGUAGUACUUUCUCCUCCGUGAAGACUUAGAGCCUGUUUAUGAGAGUUUCGGGUAGUUUGCAGCUUCUCUCGGAAUUAAAAAUUUCUCAAACAGUAUAACUUUUUUUUUAUACUAUGAGAAGUUCUAUUUGUAAAAUUUAGAAAAAUAAACUAGAAACCUGAAGCUGUUUCUUCAUAUUCUCAAAAGCUGAGUACCAACCAGCUGCUUCUCAAAAUCUUAAGCUAAUAAAUCCUUAACAGUGUUUGAGAGAAGGAGAAAGAAAAAUGUUGAUAUAAUACGUAAAACGAGAUGGGUCAUUAGCAUAUCAUUAUUUAAGUAUUAGUUAUUUAAAACUUAAAAAUGGAUUAAUAUUAUUUUUUAAAACAACUUUCCUAUAAUUUAUUUUGGAAAAGUACAAAUUACCUCCCGAACUAUUGCGGUCGACCGAAUUACCCCCUAAAACCCGAAAAUCAGACAACGUUCACCCCCUCGACCCAAUCUAGAACAGUUUUGUCCUACGUGGCGUACCCGUGGCAGUCCAGUUAGAAUUCUAUUUGUAUAAAAGCAGGACUCACCUGUCAUACUCCUCUUCCACUCUUCCUCUCUCUCUCGUGGGUCGGCGGCAGGUGGGGGACACGGAGCGGCGGCGGCAGGGGACACGGAGCGGCGGCGGCGGGGGACGAGGAGGCGGCGGCGGCGGCUGCGGCCACGAUGAGCAGCUGUCGCCUUGGCGCGGGGACGGACGGAGGCAGGGGCGGGCGGUGGGCGGGCGUGGACGGCGGACACGGAGGCAACAUGCACAGUGCGCGGAGACCCUCCUGCGCCAGAGGGAGUUCGCCGCUCCCUCCUCUGUGUCCCGCGUCAACUGCCGCCGCCUCCUCGUACCCCGCCUGCCGCCGACCCGUGAGAGAGAGAAGGAAGAGUGAGAGAGAGAGGAAGAGUGGAAGAGGAGUAUGACAGGUGGGUCCCACAUUUUUUAAAAAAUAAAAUACUGACUGAACUGCCACACGUACACCAUGUAGGACAAAACUGUUCUGGAUUGGAUCGAGGGGGGUAAUUUGCCCGGUAUUAAAAGUUCAGGGUGAACGAUGUCUGGUUUUCGGGUUUAGGAGGGUAAUUCGGUCGACCGUGAUAGUUCGGGGGUAAUUUGUACUUUUUCUUUUUUUAGAAAAAAAGGCACACCGUUUAACAAUUCGGAAACGUAUGCACGGAGAACAGCAGAAAUCUAAUAUGUUUAGCCCCGUUUGAACCUAAAUAAGAUACGUAUUUUACUGAUUUUUUGUUAGAAUAUUUUUUAAACUACUAAAUGCUAAUCUUGCUUGCACUACUAGAAAAAAACAUUUUUUAGGCGGCCAAAAGCAAUUUUUCCAGACGGAGGAGAGGACCGGCUGCAGACCAACGACACGAUUUUCGCAGCCAGGGCAAUGGCCCGCCUGCGAAAAUCCAAUGAAAAAACAAAAAAAAUGGCCUCGUCGCCGCCGCCCUCCCCUGGCCUCCCUCCGGCCGGAUCUGGGAGGGGAGGAGAGGGGAGCCGCUGACGUCGCCGUCCACGCGCGCGCCUCGUCGCAGCCGCCCUCCCCCGGCCUCCCUCUGGCCGGAUCUGGGAGGAGAGGGGAGGGGAGCUGCCAACGUCGUCGUCCACGCCGCCGCCGCCCUCCCCCGGCCUCCCUCCGGCCGGAUCUGGGAGGGGAGGGGAGGGGAGCCGUCGCCGCUGCAACAGGAGCCGCCGACGUCGCCGCCGCAACGGGAGCCGCCGACGUCGCCGCCGCAACGGGAGCCGCCGACGUCGCCGUCCACGCCGCCACCGUGUCUGCGCCACCGGUGGAGGGAUGGAGGGGAGGGGAGGGGAGGGGGAGAGAGCUGAGAAGCCGGUGGAGGGAGAGAGAGAGAGAGUUGAGAAGAUUAGUGUUGAGGGAAAUGAGUGGUGGGGAGGGGGUUGGAGUAGAUAAGUAUCAAAGUUUUUUUUUGGUAGGUACCAUUUUUGCAGGCGGACCACAUAAGGUUCGCCUGCGAAAAUAGGUGGUCCGUUUGCGAAAAUGAUUUUCGCAGGUGCCGCUUAAGUGGUCCGUCUGCGAAAAUCUAUUUUCGCAGGUGGAUAGCGAACUUCACCCCGAUUUAUAUUUUUAUAGGCGAUUAUUUGGUUCCAAGGGUCAUGUUCGCCUGUGAAAAAAAAGACCCCCAUAUCAGGAAAAAUGUUUUUUCUAAGUGUGUUGGCUUCGAUUUGAUCUAAAGAGGCAUGCAUUGGAGUGUUAUUUAGGCCGGUGAGUGAUAUUUGUUUCUUUUGUUACGGUCAUUGAUCUCCGGGGUUUCUUCGGACUUCUUUUUUGUUCGAUUUAGAAAAAUCGAAUGAAUGCUAUAACAAAUUAUAUAUUGGGAUAGAACUAUAGAUUGUGGGAGGACUGUUUCGAGGGGGAGAGGGCUACAUAGAUGGAACGGUCGCGUGGCCAACAGUGAACAGUUAAUGAGACAACGGGUUAGUGGUAGCACCAUCUAAGGGCAAGUACAAAGGUAGAGACCGGUAUGGUCUCUACGUUAAUUAGAGGCUAUUACGUUACAAUAAUUAAGACAAUACUGUCUCUAACAUUAAUGCACUAAAAUACUUUCUUACUAGUGAUCUUUCCUUUAUUAGACUCAAUGCAACGAAAAAUUUCCUAAUAAAUACUAAGAGUCGACUCUAUGCUGUUGUCAUGCGUAGCAACCAUCUUUCUUUUUCCUUCUCCCUCUCUCUUCCACGUCACCAAAUAUGCUUGCAUGAUAAUAAAGAGAGACCGCUAAUAAAGACCAUUGUACAUGCCCUAAGCCUGCAUGGAAGAGUAUAGAGAGUAAGUUUGUCUUCUUUCGAACAUUUCCCUAGCUAACUUCUAUCUUCCGUUUUUACACGUACGUUUCCUAAAUUAUAUUUGAUCCAUUUCCAAAGUUUUUUAAGCUAAUAUUUAAUUAAUUAUACGCUAAUUUAUUGUUCCGUUUUACGUGCUGAAGUGAGGGUUCCAAAUCCGUAGUAGCGAAUGCAGCUUAAUUAAAUGGGGGUGUGCGAUUGGAGUGAGCCCUUUUGAAUUGGAGGAAAAAUAUAGGAAUUUUGGAGGAUUUUAAUCAUAUAGGAAAAUUUUCUAUGAAGCCCUUUGAAACAAAGGAUUAAGUCAUAUCUAAUUCUUUGAAAUUCUUAUGGAAUGGACAAUCCUAUAGAGGUUUUAGAGGAAAUUUAGCAAGAGCUUCAACCUCUUGGUAACUUUCCUUUGAGUCUAUCUCUCUCAUCCAAUUCCUGUGUUUUUCCUGCGGUUCAAUCAAACAGUCAUUUCUGUGUUUUUCCUGCGUUUUGCAAUUCUUUGUUUUACACUUACAUUCCUAUCAAAAUCCUAUGUUUUUUUCAAUCCCGCGAUUCAAAGGGGCCCUAAGUAAGAAGUGGAAGAAUUACCUCUCCCUCCAUUUUAUAUUAUAAGAUUCUCUUUAAUUUAUCUAUCAUAAGUUUAAUUUAUCCACGUUUGUCCAAGUUUUUAUGAAAAUGUAGCAGCAUUUCAACAUAAAAUGAAUAUAUUAAAAAAUAUAUUUAGUGAAAUCAAUUCGGUGUUCUACGUAUUGCAAUUUUUUUAUAUAAAGUUAGUUAAAUUCAAACAAGCUUGACUUUAAACUGAAAAUUUUUUCAAUGUCUAAGUAUCUGGACAACAUAAUUUUUUUCUCAUAAUAUACAGGCAAACCUUCUAGAAGCGUGGUAGUCUUCACAAGUUCACAUUGGGGAAAAAACGAAAUAUGGAUAUAUAUAUGGUAUCUUUUGAAAUAUUAAACUAACAACCGUUAUUAUCUCGCAGAGUACGGCUAAAUAUGGAGUACCGGGCGUGAUGGAAAACGGAAAAAACAUACUGUAUUUUGUCUUAAAGACACGACAGGAGUAUAGGACCAUAGUUUCACUGAAUGCUUAUCGGUUUUGUAAUAUUGAUGUCAAUUUUUGAUGUGACAUUUAUCUAUUCAUCUUAUUAAAAAUAUAAAAUAUUAUUUACUUAUUGUUAACUUAUUUUAUCAUCAAAGAAACUAUAACCUUAACCUAUAUUUUUCAUAUUUAUACUGAAGUUUUAAUAAGACGAGUAAGACGAAUAUUUAAACAAUUAUAUGAAAAAUUAACGGUGUCGUAUAUAAGAAAAACUGCGGUAGUAUCAUUUAUAAAUGUAAAUCCAUUUCUUUUUCCCUUGAUUGCACGCUAGAUCCGGUUCAGACAGAAUUGAUUGGGCAGGUGGCGAGAGGCCGUACUACGCCACAUUGUCCUCCCCCUGGAAAAAAAAGGCAAAAGGACAAGAGGACCAACAGAAAAGGGUGAGAGAGAGAGAGCAGGGCACUGCACGGUGCACAGCCACAGCCUGCACUGCAGUAGUGCAGUUUGCAGCAAAGGCAGCAAAGGGCAUGUUUAGAUCCAUUUGAAAUGGCAAAUGGUAAAUGGUAAAAGUUUUAUUAUUGUAAAAGUAUUAGUUGGUGUUUAGAUGUAUUUUAAAUUUUUGCCAUUCUAGCACUAAAGUGAGAGAGAGAAAGAGAUAGGGAGUGGUCCCAAAGCAUUUUUUUGGCACAAUUUGCUACUAUGGACUAGCAAAUGCCAAAUGUCAAAUUGCCAAGUUUUAAUACUAGUGUUUAGAUCCAAAAUGACAAAAUGUACUUCAAAAUGGCAAAAUUUUUGCUAUUUUGGAGGAUCUAAACAGGGCUAAAGGCUAGGGUAGUACCAGGUACUGGAGCACUGUAGUGUACUUCCUGUAGUAGCCCAAAGGCAAAAUUUGCUACAGGACACGCAAAAAACGUGUAAUUAGCUGGGAGACACCGCGAAAACGUGACACGGCUGAUGGACACUACAAAAUUUGUGUAAUUGGCUAUAGGACACUGGUCGCAUUAUUUUAUUAUUUCCGAGUCAAAACAAGUGAUAUAUUUUUCUGAAUGUCUAGAUUGCCCUUUCUCUUUCCUUCCUUUUCUCCUACGCCGGGAACCUGCGUGAUGGGACGAGGUCGGCGAGGUCACCGGGAACCCGCGCGAUGGGACGAGGUCGGCGCAGGCGCGAGCUUGAUGGCGGCAGCGGGGCGGCAGACGGAGAGGCCCGCCUCGGCGAUGCGCAGCGCAACGGCGAGGCCGGCGGGGCCGCUGACGACGACGGCGAGGUCGACGGGCCUAGAGCAGGCACCCGGGGGGAGGGGUCGCCGACCGCUGCCGCGCGGGUGGGGGGAGGCGUCGGCGAGCUCGGCGCGAGUGGGCGGGCAUGAGCUCGGCGGCAGCGGGGCGGCAGGGCGAGAAGGCGCUCGGUGUUCUCGGCGAAGGCGCUGAGUGUCCGCGGCGAAGACGACGACUACGGCGAGGGCGAGAGCAGCGGCGCAUCGCCGCCAACUCCCUCUCCGGUAGCAGCUCACGGCGCCCACCUCCAUCUCGCCGGACAAGAGGAAGACCGGCCAGCUAGCAGCUAGCAGCAGCCAAGCAUGCGCCGGCGAGCUCGCUCCACCAGCAAGAAGAUGGCUAGCUAGCUCCUUCAAUUCAGACUUGAGAGCUUGAGCAGGCAGCAAUGGCGAGCUCCUUCAGACUUCAGGCUUGAGAGCUUGAGCAGGCAGCCAGGAGGCAGCUGCAGCCGGUCAGGGGCUCGAUCUGGUCUCUGAUUUGCAAGUCGGAGCAUGCACAGGCGUCCUCUUGUGCCGACCUCGCCAACCUCACCCCACUGCGCGCGAUCCCGGCGAAGGAGAAAACCAAGGAAAGAGAAGGGGCAAUCUGGGCAUUUAGAAAAAUAUCUCACCUCUUUUGAUCCGAAAAUAAUAAAAUAAUACGACAAGUGUCCUAUAGCUAAUUACACAAUUUUUGUAGUGUCCGUUAGCCGUAUCACGUUUUCGCGGUGUCUUCCAGCUAAUUACACGUUUUUUGCGUGUCCUGUAGCAAAUUUUGCCUAGCCCAAAUGCCACAGUUUUGGGCCUAAUUGGAAUAUAAUCAAGCUGAGCUGCCAUGGGCCACGGCCACUGCACGCUGAACAGCUCAGCGCUUUAACGUGCCAGGCCAUCUGUUUACAGGGUUGUUUUCUUAAUUAAGUGCCACAUUUUUUUCUAAACAAAGGCAAGAGAUACACAUGACCCAAGAAAAAGUUCUCACUUUAAACACCAUAAUAUUACAAACACUAAAAACACCUCAAAAUCAUUCCCCAAAGCUACAUUAAACACCUAAAAGAAAACCAAAAAAUGCCACAUUUUACCCAAACAUAGUCAAUUGGUUUUUAGUCACAGACUACGCUCAUCACAUUUGACCCUGUUUAGAUGGGACUAAAACUUUUAAGUCCCUAUCACAUCGGAUGUUUAGACACUAAUUAUAAAUAUUAAACGUAGACUAUUAAUAAAAACUCAUACAUAAUCUUAGACUAAUUCGCGAGAUAAAUCUAUUGAGCCUAAUUAAUCCAUGAUUAGCCUAUGUGAUGCUACAGUAAACAUUCUCUAAUUAUGGAUUAAUUAGGCUUAAAAAAUUUGUCUUGCAAAUUAGCUUUCAUUUAUGUAAUUAGUUUUGUAAGUAGUCUAUAUUUAAUACUUUAAAUUAGUGUCUAAAUAUAGAGACUAAAAUUAAGUCCCUGUAUCCAAACACCACCUUAUAUUUUUUCUUCUUACCUAGCCACAGACUCCACUCGCCAUAUUUAAUUUUUCCCCUUACCUUGCCUAAGGUGUGAACAAUAGAUCUUGGCCACACCUUAGCAAAGGGUUGACUAGGUGGUGUUGCAUUUUUUUUAAAACAACAGAUGCUCAUAUAAAUGUGCACGCAAUCACUCUAUCCCUUUGAGCACCUUUGAAGAUUGUAUAAGUAUAUCUUGAGAUUCACGAAGUCACCUAUCCCUAUAAAAACCCGGGUGGAUAGAUUGCACCACGAAGAAACUAACCAAUUAAGUUAUACUCACUUCACGCCAAUAUGUGUUAUAUCUUUCUCUUGAGCAAAUACUGUUACCUUUUUUUGUUUGAUAAUUCAUGUGUUUCCAUGGCCAAAUUUAGGGCUCCUUGGAACGCAUGAAUCUUAUAAGAUUUUGACAGGAAAUAUUUUAGCUCCUCCUAAGUUUUUCCAAAAAAUCAUAUGCUUCAAGGGAAGCCUCAUUGAUCCUCAGUAGAGUCUUAAAAAUCAACACAACGCUAUAUAUCGGGGUAUUUAACUUUUUGCCACUUUGAAAUGUGGCAAUUAAAGAUUUACCACUCGCAAUCUAUGACAUGUGUGCCUAGUGGCAAAUCCUUAAUUAUCACUUGUAAGAGCGGCAAAUAGUUAAUUAUUCCCUAUAUAUAUAAAGUUUGUUUGGUUUAGUAGCCCACCAAAAUAACUCUAGAGUAUUAUAAAUGAAUUUGUUCGAAUUGAUAUUAAUUGGAAGCCAAAAUUUAUAUAAUAGCAAAGAAAGUUCUAGAAUUGUUUCAAACUGAGCAUGUGCAUUACCCAUCAUUUGGCAUCAAACCAAACCAUCGUAUUUACUGCUCAAACUACCAAAACAAUUGGUAUGACACGUUUUAGCAUUGAUCCAAAAUGACCCAUUGUUGCCUAGCAGUUUCAUCCAUAACCUCCAUAACUAACUGGCUGCCAAUCAAAUUUGAUCAAAAUUUAUCAAACAAUUGAAUUUACUUCAUCCAUCCCAUAACCACACAAGGGAUUAAACCUUUUCUUUUUCCAAAAUUAAGGAAGUAGCAAAGUCGUGAUACAAAAGUGAUAGUUAUAGGAAUAUAACUACAAAAGUUAGUAGAUAGGGAAUAAAUAGUAGAAAAGUUAGAAAUUGAGGAAUAAAAUAUCUUAUAUUUUAGGAUAAAAUAGAAGAGUAAAAUAUUUUAUCUCGUAGAACAGAGAGAGUAUGAGCUUAAUUAAUUUUAUCAAGUGGUUUCCAGGUGGUCGAUUUAUAAGGCCGAUAAUGUUCCUCGCUGACUAUACUCUUCAUAUAGCCCCAAGCUAGUUGCAUGAAUCAUAUAAUACUAUAAAGUUGAUAUUUAUUGACUCUUAAAAGUUUAACAUGCAAGUGUACCACAUAAACCCACUAGCAAUUAUUAUCUACAAUAUUUUAAAUAUCAUGUAAACAUAAUAUAUCAUUUACAAUUUUAUUGUAUUUCUAGAACUCAAUAUGCAAGUAAUAUCAAAUCAUUAUAUCUACAUCAUUUUCACAUUAUUUAAACAUAUACAUAUCUCGCAACAAAGUAUACUAAUUCGAAUACUUUGACUACUAAUACAUACUGAUGGCAUCCGUGGAUUACACCGUUGGUUUGUCAAGGAAAAUACUUCUAAUCUUCUAUACAACAUUUUCACUCUUUUACUAUUAAUCUUGAAGUCCAUAAAUGUUGCUUCGAGAGAAAAAAAUAACCCUGAUGUCCAAAUUAAAACAAAUCAGCUCACCUUAUAUCUCCAGACUCGAUCACAAAACUCUGAUGGACGACGCGACAAAGAGAGCUUGGGAAGCAAAGGCAUCGAGUAGUACACAUGGCUGAUCAGUUGGCAUGCUUCUUGUCAAGCCGCGAGAUAUGGAGGGCUUGGUUGACCUAGUUUUUAGAUUCUAACACGCGGCUGUUUCUGAAAAUAUGGAAAAACUCUGAAACCCAGCUUCUCCAGUUUCUGGCUUCUUAAUUUAUUCUUCAGAAUAUGUAACUACAGAUUCUCAAAAGCUAUAGACUGUUUGGGACAGCUUCUAACAGAAGCAGCUUUUGAGAAAAGCUGCAGCUGGGACAAGCUCCCCCGGAAUGGUCUUUUGUAGCGAGAGUGAUGUGGAGUGAAGCAUACAGGGCAAAACAUCCGUGAAACGGACGAACUAGUGUACUGGGUACAGGAGAGAUAAGGUUAGGUUAAGGUUGAAGUUUAUAUGCAAUGCAUCAAUUAACGUCUCGUUCUUUUCUAAUCUAAUUAAGACAAAUUUUAUCUCAGUUUUCGUUUACAUACUUUUUUAAACUGCUAAAUGGUUUAUAAAAAAUACAGAAUAACAACAUCCGCUCCUCAAAUCUUAAAUAGACACCACCACAGAUGCUUGGACUAAAUCCCCCCAUCAUGUGAGAAAGGGCCUAUAGCCUAGUGGUUAUAAGAGUCUCAGUAACACCAUAGGUCUUGGGUUCAACUCCACAUGGGAGCAAAUUUUUCAGGAUUUAACGGCUUUGUGCUUUCAAUGGUAGGCGAUGUACCCGUCGACAGCGAGGCGCCUAUGAUGACUUCGUUAAUCUCCAGGAUGGAUUUGCCGACCCAGUAUUCAAAGAUGCUCAUAGGGGUAGCGUUUGCGUGCGUGCGUUCAUAGGGGUGAGUGCGCGUAUGUUGUGAGUGUCUGCGUUGUAUUGUAUAAUUCUCAAAAAAAAAAUCCCCCCAUCAUGUAGUUCACCGCUAUUUUACUCCAACCUUAUCAAGUGUCGGCCUACGGUGACUUCAUCAAUCUCCAGGAUGAUUUGCUGGCCCAGUCUUCGAAGAUGCUCAUAGGGGUAGGGUUUACGUGCGUACGUUCAUAGGGGUGAGUGCGCGUAUGUUGUGAGUGUCUACGUUGUACUGUGUAAUUCUCCAAAAAAAAAAAUCCCCCCAUCAUGUAGUUCACCGCUAAUUUACUCCUACCUUAUCAAGUGUCGUACCAGUACGAGGUAGUACUACUAUCUCUCUGCAGCUGCUCCUCCUCAAGAGGCGCGCGUGGCAAUUGCAACAGCGGCGACAACAGUCAUGCAUGGAGGAGGUGGUAGACAUAGACGAGCACGACGAGGAGGCGAUCGUCGUGGGCGCCAGCGUGGCGCAGCUGCCUGGACCGUGACGGUUGUGUCGGCUCGCUGUGGUGGCGCCGCGCCUACGACCGCCUCCGUGUCCACCUCCCCAAGCAGUACCGCACGGGUGAUGGUGUCCGCUCCCGCCUCCGCCGCAAGGUCCGGGAGGUGCGGUUCGACGCCGUCGACCUUGCCACCAGUAAGUAACUUAGAGCGGUAUGUGGCGAGGUACCGCCGCCGCCAGUGAGAACGAUGAGCAGGUGGUCCCCAUGACCGGGAUCGAUGGAGACGUUCUCGGGGAAGACGAUGCACACCGCCGACUACAUAUUUUGGUUGUGUGUAUAUAUAUAUAUAUAUAUAUAUAUAUAUAUAUAUAUAUAUAUAUAUAUAUAUAUAUAGAAUGUAUGUAACGUUCUUGUGGUGUUCGGCUUGGAUGUAAUAUGGGGUGUUCAGUGUUCUUGUGAUGUUCGGAUUAAGAUCUGAGCUGAGUGGGCUUGAUCUGAGCGUAGUGGGGCUAAACGUGAUAUGGACCUAAACUAAUAUAGGAAGAGAAUUGGAAAUUGUGGAGCGAUCUGGGAGGAAUUGGAAAAAAAAAAUCGUGCGCACUACACGGGGAGGGAAUCAGACUUUUUUUUGCGUUUUUUUCUUCCCUUUUUACCAUACAAUCAUGCUUCUUUUUUUCGCUCUUUUUUUAAAAAAAUUUAGAUUGACGACAUAAACCUCGGAAACCUUUUUAAUUUUUUAAGUAGUAGAGAUAGAGAUAGAGAUAGAGAUAGUGAUGCACAUAUUAAAAAAAAGAAAAAUAAACCAAAAAUAAACUAGAAAUGAAAAAAGACCAUAUGCAAGGAGGCAACAGAUUGAGAUCCUCUGCAAUCAAAUGCAUGGUGACUUUGGGACCACAUGUUAAUAAUAAAGUCACUUGACUUCUUCAAGUGUAGAGGAUUAUGAUCCGAGGCGCCGCCCCCUCCCUUCCGGAGAUGACCGGGGAGACACCCCCGGAGUGAGGGGGAACGAUUAGCUUUUUCGCAUGAAGGGUGAUUGACUGCUCGUCCAUCAUCCAUGCAAGGGAUAAGAGCAGGUACAAUAGCAGGCUAUUAGCCAGCUAUAAAUAUAUUUUAAUAAGAUAAAAGAUGAAAGAGAAGAGCAGCGGGCUACAGAUCUGUAGCCAGUUGCAGCACGGACUCUAAAACGCAGUGUGUAUAUGACAUGUGGGACCAUAUAUUAAUAGUAUAGUAAGCAACUAUUGUAUAAAUUGGCUAUUAGAUAAAUUGGAGUUUGUAAUGGGCUAAGUUUAAGACGCCGCGGCCGCGCGCAAAUUAAAAGGGGUUAAUUUCGCGGAGGUCGGUAGGAUUAUUCGCGAGUUUGUUGGGGAUCGAGAUAGAUUUCGAUGAAUGAUUGGUUCGAUCUGAGACUCCCGCCAUCAAUCAAAACCCUUAUAAAAUCCCCCCUUCUGUUCAUCCUCCUCCUCAUGUUGGUGGUUUGCAUUGGCGACGGUGGAGAGAGCAGAAGCCACUCCAUAUGCCACCCUCUUCCGCAGCCGCAGCCGCAGCUGCUUCUGCUCGUCGUCUGCUAGCUCCGCCGCCGCCGCCGCCGCCGUUGAUUUUGCCGGCUGCUAGCGAGCUAGCUGCUCACUCUCGUCGAGAGCAAAUGGAUAUCGUUGGCUAUCGUCGUGCCUCGGUGAAUCGAGACGUGAUGAUCAUCAGUGGUAUGAAGUACUCCCUCCAUUUCAAAAUGUUUGGCUGAUCAUUCGUCUUAUUAAAAAAAUUUAAGUAAUUAUUUAUUCUUUUCAUAAAAUUUGAUUUAUUGUUAAAUAUAUUUUCAUGUGCACGUAUAGUUUUACAUAUUUCACAAAUUUUUUUUGAAAGACAAACGGUUAAAGAUGUGCUAAAAAAUUAACGGUGUCGAAUAUUUUGAAACGGAGGUAGUAUGAUAUCGUUCUAAGGGACACAGCGACUUGUUGUUGUUGUUCGUGCUUCAUCGACUCAUCGUCACGGAUCUUAUUGAUUAACGGCUCCGUUGGCACGGUCGUGACUUGUAAGAAAAAAAAAUUUCGAUUCCCUUUCUUUACAUCAGAUUCGUACGAUAAAUUUUAAGAUUUUAUAAGAGUUUAUUUAUAUCUAUUCCAUAUUAAAAGGUGGUCAAAGUGGAAAGUAAAUAAAAAUUGCACUUUACGCAUGAUAAAGUGUACAUUGUUUCACUUUGCACUAAGUUUAACACAUAUUUUUACUUUACACCAGGGUUCACUGAUUUAGGUUUCACUUAACUACAUCAUCAAAUAUAUAGGAUUUUCAUGACAUUUCAUAAAUUUUUUGAAUGAAUCCUCAUCAAACAUAGUCUAAAUUAAAAAGUUUAUUUAAUAAUUUUUAAUCAUAUUUUACAAGAUUUAUGAUACAACACCUAGUGUAAAGUGCAAAGUGAGAGUUAUUUCAAUAUACUCUGGUGUAAAGUGAGUAUAUAUUAAACCUGGUGCAAAGUGAAAUAAGAUACACUUUAGUUGGUGUAAUGUGUAAUUUACUCUUUAUUAUAUUGUCUUCCAAAGUGUGUAAUUUGGAUAAUUUUACCAUAUCAAAUUACUUUAUAUCUUUUCAUAUACGGGAGUGUUAAAUUCGUUUAAUUUGGGAAUUUAUCUUACUUGAGACAUAUUUUUUCGCCCAACAUAAACCUCGUUAAAGACAGUACAAUCUCGUAUGACCGAGACAAAAACUUCGAUACUUCAAACCGGGCGGCCAAUAUAUUCCAAUUUUACCUUGGCAGUAGAAUAGAGCUUAACUAAUUUCAAAAUGGUUUACCAGUGUUUGUCUAGUAAAGGAAACAUUCCGGCACAAUCUAUACUCAUUAAAAGAGAAGGUAUUAGUGAAUUUGUCACCCCACCUCUUGUUAAUCUUAAAACUUAGUUGAACUUUUUAUCAUUAGAAAACAAGCUAAUUACAUAGCUACGUAUAAAACAAGCAAAUUCAUGUUGUGCAAGAGGAUUGAUAACACAUUGCACAACAUGAAUUUUAAUUUAUUUUAGACAGUAUUAUAAUAUAUUUUCUAUUAUCUCUGUAACAAAAUUACAACUAUCCGUUCAUAUUGUAUUAGGCGAUAUUAGUCUCCAGUUAAAUACUACCUCCGUCCCCUAAUACAAGGGACAUUCACUAUUUUCUUAUAACGUUUGACCACCCAUCUUAUUCAAAAAUUUGUGCAAAUAUAAAAAACGAAAAGUUGUGCUUAAAGUACUUUAGAUAAUAAAGUAAGUCACAAAUAAAAUAAAUAAUAAUUUUAAAUUUUUUUAAUAAGAUGAAUGGUCAAACAGAGUAAGUAAAAUGUUAAAAUCUCUUAUAUUAGAGGACGGAGAGAGUAGUUAGUUAUAUUAGAAAAAAAGUAGGUCAUGAACUCAUGAUGGUUUGUUACUUUGUUUGGUCAAUCGUAUAUUGAGAUGGAUUGCUCAGUCUCAGAUUAUCCCUUAAUCUCCAUCAUGUUACUUUGUUAUCACCUUGACGUGUCAGCGUCAUUGUAGUCGUCUAUCGGACAAAUCACCCUCUCUUUUUUCUUCAUCUCUGAUUAGAAAAACAAAUCAUACACUUUGACCAAAUAAGCUUUUGAGACCAUGCGUGAUGUGAAAUCGUUCUAGAAAAUGGUAAUUACGGCACUGAUGGGAACGACCGCACAUUUAUUGUCUUGCACACGAGAAACUCUUAAAUUCCGGUUUGCCCCUGGAAAGUAAGUUCAGUGAUAUCUGCAUCCUUAAAAUAGACGAAAGGGUACACAUCCAAAUGAAUUCAGAUAGACCAAUGAUGGUGAAAGGGGUCUUUAGUUUAUAUGGGAUAAAAUGACGAAAUUGUAAAGUGAGAUGAUUCUCAAAUUUUAUGAAAUAUACAUAUAUUUUUCGAUAUAUUAACGUUUAUCCGCUCAUACAUAGAUGUUGGCGUGUUUUUGUCUCGAUGUAUUAUCGUACAUCUUAGAUCGGAGAAACACUUUCCUUUCUACCAGUUUGUAGAAGACAAACAACCUAUCGCUAGCAUGCGAGAUUUCUCUAGCUUCACCAAUACUUUAUCAAUUGAUUCAAAAUGUGGACGCUUCAUUGCUUUUUAAGUGAUUAAGCCAUGUGGCUUUAUUUCUGCCUCACCCUACUUUUUUGUCAUGUCCAUAAACCACAUAGGCACAGGCCCAACCAAAACAGGUUGUUAGCUAGUCAAGUUUGUAAGAUCAAGAGUGGCCUCCAAGAGGUUCAGUCAAAAUUAGAAAUAGCCAGUUUAUCCAGGGAUGUGAAUGCAAUUCUCACCUGAAUUAAAUUAGACCCCUAAUUUAAUUCUCAAUUAACCAGGUACUGUCCUAAUAAUUUUCUCCCAACAUCCCCAUCGAUCCUGACUUUGUCUGAUCCCCACUGUUUUUUCUUUUCCUUUUGGCCACUCUUUGAUUUCUUUUUUCAAUUCUAUUGCGGGUGGAGACUUUUUGGUUUGGCCGCAAUCCACCACCCCAUUCCUAUCCAUCCUCCUUCAGCUUCUUCUUUCUUCUCCUCCUCCUCCUUGACUGUCCUAACAAAAAAAUCGAUUUUUUGUUCUCCUCUUGAUGGUUGCUGCGACCUUCGAUGUCCCUAUGCGGAAUGAAAUCUCCUGCUGGGGCGGCUAAAAAUCGGAGAUUUUCUGUCUUUUUGAUCCGUCUUUAGUGGAGCUUUUUGAGCCUGAUUUAUGCGAUGGGCUUCUUGGCGUGCUUGUUCCCAUGUCCUCAAGAGGUGAGAGAUGAGGAUGAGGAACCAAGAAGCGGCCAGAGAGUCAGCUCAGGUGGAUUUAAUUAUUCUUUUUGUUGGAAUUCGUUCUUAUGUUCUUGCAAUCUUGCUUAAAAAUUGGAGUAGAAAUGUUUGGUGCUGAUUGGUUAGUGUCACUUGUAGCAGUUCUUGUGGAGCUAAAUAUGCUCUCAGGUAUAAGAGGGGCUUUUCUUUCAUGCAGUGGAAGGAAAAAAGAAUCGAGUUAUUUGUGAUCUAUUGAUCUUAAUGAUUGUGCUGUUGGGUUCGGGAUGAUUCAGGCUGGGGUUGUACAUUAAUUUAAUUUUUUAUUUAGAUACUAGACUUAUUGUAGUCAACCAUCAGGAUUUUUCAAUUGUUUGCUCAUUUCCCCUUUUGGUUUGUGGUGGGAGCAAUUAUUUGUGCAAUUCAUCUGAAGUCACACGAGAGGAUCCAAAAUUAGAAGUUUGUUUGUAAGUUUGGACUUUGGAGUGCGUAAUUUCACCGGGAGAAGAGGAUAGAAAGAACAUGAAUUAGUUUAAGCGGAAUUAAAAUUAUGAAGAAGACGAACACUGUGGUAGAAAAGGAAACAGUCUGGGUGGACUCGAAGAAAAUCGCUAAUUUUCUACUAUUCUUGUUUUCGAUUUCCAACUCUGUUUCUCUUUCAGGAUGUAUCGAGUCUAUCUUCAUUAACAGUGGACGUGUUCUUUUCUUCCCUUGAAAUUUCUCAAUAACAGUGGAAUAUUCAAAGUCGUCAGAGAGUUGCCCACUGAAGACUGAAGGGUCGAUAGAUAUGGUUGGAAUUCGGCGAAAUAAGGGGCAUGGUGAAGCAACGAUCUUCACUUUGCGCGAGCUUGCUGAUGCUACCAACAACUUCAGCACGGAGUGCCUUUUGGGCCGAGGAGGAUUCGGCAGUGUGUAUAAAGCAUUUCUCAAUGAUAGACAGGUUUGUAUUUUCUACUCAAGCACCCAACUCCUUAUGCACUUCGAGUCCCAAGCUAUGCCGCGAGCAUGAAACAAGCUUUUUCAACAACACUGCUUUGAAUACUUUGUGAUAUUGAUAAAAGAAACUGUUCCUUUGGUCAAAAUUGAUGGGAAUGCUUAGACUAUUGAUGUUAACAGAAAGUAUUGUUAUGCUAUAUACCCUUUGUAUAAAUUUCUAAUUUGGUUCCAGCAUUUGCUGCAUCGCAGGUUGUUGCAGUUAAACAGCUUGAUCUAAAUGGGCUUCAGGGAAACAGAGAAUUCCUUGUGGAGGUUCUCAUGCUCAGUCUCUUGCAUCAUCCUAAUUUAGUCAAGUUGUUUGGUUACUGUGUGGAUGGAGAUCAGCGCCUGCUUAUUUAUGAAUAUAUGCCAUUGGGAUCACUAGAAGACCGCCUUCACGGUUAGUAUUUUAUUGGAAAUUGUAUAAUAUCCUCUGUUAGCUCCUAGAAAAACCUGAAAGUUCCCUAAGAAUCUGUAGUUGUGUUAGAAAACAUUUUAUAUUUUUCAUUGUUACAUCAUCGUGAUUUAAAGCACAUCUAACCACUUGAACAUGGUGAAAAGAACUGUCUUCUAGGUGAGAAGAAAUAAAAAAAAAUAAAGAGCUGAUAAUUUGGCACCUCUUUCAGCAUUUUAAAGAUCAGUAGCUGAUAGUACAUAAUAACUUCAAUAUAGAAAGAGUUCACAACUUCUGUACUUUUGGAUUUCCCUGAAUUCGAAGUGUGUUUUCUGCAUUCUAUCUUGGCAAAGAAAACAAUUGGUUUUCUUCAAUGUUCCAUCCAUCAUAUUUUCUAAAUUUGAAUUUCUAUUAUAAUCUGUUGUAUCUGAAGAUGGCUUGAAGUAAUUCCUUUAAAUGAUAAACAUCGCAACCUUUUACCUUCAAAUGGCUAUUACUAUGCCUUGCUAAAACAUCAUUUGACCUUUUUAUUAUGUAUGAUGAAGGUGCUAUUGUUUUUGGCAUUGAAAAUUAUUAUCCAGUAUUUUGGUAGACCUGUCUAGGAUCCAGAUUAGUUUUGUUUCCAUUGUCUUAUGCAUCUGAUCAAAAGCUAAAGCUAGCAUGGAAUGUUCAACUUUAGGCAGAUCUGUCUAGAAUUCAGUGAGGAUUCGAGGGCAUAACUUUUCAUAACCAUCCAUAACCACUUUUUUUUUUUUGGUUUGACGAGAGGACCCUGCAGUGUAUAUUCAAUAAUAAAGAGAUAGAUUCAGCAUGUCGCUGUUUAUCACCCUUCAUGUCCGUUUCUACCAUUAGACCACAUGGUUCAAAAAGAAUUAAAUUGUUCUUUACAUUCCAGUAAGCUACUUAAUUUCCUUAAGUAUUAUUACUGGAUACCCUGUUAAAAAUUUGCUGCCGAUGCUUUUUACAGAUCUCAGACCCGGCCAAGAACCACUAGAUUGGACAACACGGAUGAAGAUUGCUGCUGAUGCAGCUGCUGGUUUGGAGUAUCUGCAUGAUGAGGCCAUUCCAGCAGUUAUUUACCGGGAUAUUAAACCGUCAAACAUUCUUCUUGGCGAAGGGUAUAAUGCAAAGUUGUCUGACUUUGGACUUGCUAAACUUGGUCCUGUUGGUGAUAAGACUCAUGUGACAACUCGUGUCAUGGGGACACAUGGUUAUUGUGCUCCUGAGUACCUCUCGACUGGAAAGCUUACGAUCAAAUCUGACAUUUAUAGUUUUGGUGUGGUCUUUCUUGAGCUAAUUACUGGACGAAGAGCGCUUGACAGCAAUCGGCCACCUGAUGAACAAGACUUGGUUGCAUGGGUAUGUUUCUAUCAAUACCAGAAUGUUACGAAAGGUCACAAUGAUCAUAUUUUCACAAAGAAAAACAAAAUGAGGAUAAAAGAUGUAUUGUUUAAAGGGCAACAUUGAAACAAUAAUGGCGUACUGGAAUUAUAGAAAAUGCUACAAUACAUUUUCUUCUGUGAUUAAUUUUUAUACUACAGCUAUCAUUAACAACAUUGUGCUGUGUGGAUAAGGAUCAAAAAUGGUAUUUGGUCGAAGUUAGUAACAUUUAAUUAACGGUGCAAGGGUGGGGGUACUGGUGCUAUGUACACCUUUUCAAAUAUAUAGUGUGAGCUAUGUUCUGAGAACAAAGUAAAUUAUAUUAUUAAUUAACCUCCCUGUAUGCAUCCUAAUGCCUAUGGAACAGGAAGUAAAUGUCUCAAUCUUGUGUGUCCAGGAGUUUCCUCGUUCUAGGAAAUGAAUCUUAUCUGUUUCUUAACAUACCCCCUCAGUACCAGUUAAAUGACCGUUCAUCUAACUUAUUGGGUGUCCUACUAAAUUGGAUCUGUCCCUUUUUCAUCAUUUGAUCCCUUGAAUACUAUUAUGUUUUUAAUGUUAAAUGUUCUAUUUGUCUGCAGGCUCGUCCAUUGUUCAAAGACCAAAGGAAAUUUCCAAAGAUGGCGGACCCCUCAUUACACGGCCACUUCCCGAAAAGGGGUCUGUUCCAGGCUUUGGCUAUUGCAGCAAUGUGUCUGCAGGAGAAAGCGAAGAACCGCCCUUCCAUUAGGGAGGUUGCUGUUGCUCUCUCUUAUUUAGCAUCACAAACACAUGAAAGUCAGAACACUGCUGCUCGCCAUACCCUGCCUGGCCCUUCUGUACCAAGAGUGCUGGAUAAUCAGAUUAACCAAGACACUUCCUUGCCCAGUCAACAUGGAGUUCAUAUGCCACCGCUUGCCGGGACGGAUCACAUGGUACAAGAAGUCAAGGAGAAUUGCCGGAGCAGUUCGCAUCGACCGGGAAGGGGCAGAGUUACCCCGAACGGCGCUGAUAGAGAGCGUGCGCUUGCAGAGGCAAAUGUAUGGGUCGAGGCUUGGAGACGUCAAGAGAAGACGAGCAAAAUGCGGUAAUCAACGAAAAGCUUCUCGCUGCUAGCUUCAUUUGAUCAUAGGAACAGAAUUGACAAGGUAUGCCACAGAUUGCAUACGUUUUGAAGAAACCGCGGACCGAAUAAUAACUGUUAGAAGACGAUAGCGAAUAAUAAUGAUCAGUGAGUUCUUCUGUGGACCUACACCAGAGUGAGCGCUUGGGAGAUUUCACCGGUGAAGUCUACUAAAUUUACAUCCAGACUUGUUUCACUACAUACAUGGAUUCUUAUUUCUCAUCAUAUAGAUAAUUUAGCUUCUAUAGGUUAAAGUCGCAGGAGGGGAUAUGUACAUGUAAAUAACCCCCUCAUAACAGAAGUGGCAGAUGCAGAGCAUACAUAUAUUUCUUUUCUGUAGUUGGAUGUCUCUUGUGAAUCCAUGUACAUGAGCUGGUACCAUAAGUGCUACAGCUUAUACAUUUUUCAGAUGAUUCUUGGUGUUAACUCUCCCUUGCAAUUCUCUGUUCUCAUCAUGCAGCACAGGUAAAUGUGUGAUAGAUUUGUGAAAAAAAAACAAAGAGAUGAGGAGAGAUGCUGAAUGGUGAUGCUUUGCAUAACAGGCAUGCAGUGUGGAAGGAGAUCUGUUCCUCUGCAGUGUUUGUUUCAGAGCUGUUGCUAUUCAUCCUUGUCAUGCAAAAACUUUCUAUAAACAAAUUCCUUUACAAACUGUUUUAAAUCAAUUUUUUCAACUUUAUAAUAGUCAAUGAAUUUGUUUGUAGCCUCCAAUAAUUAUCACAAAACCAUUUAGCUAUUAAAGUAAAGGAAAAAAAAAGGUAGGUGUAACCAGCAGAGGCUGUGAAUUAGUCAGGGAAUCGCUGUAAAAACACUGGUUUUUCGCAUGUGGAUUGACGACGGAGCAGUGGACGAUUCUUAAUUUGCUUAAUCUGUCAUUACAUUAUACUCCCGCCGUUUCUAAAUACUACCUCUAUAUUUUAAUGACGCCGUUGACUUUUUGUCCAACGUUUGACCGUUCGUCUUAUUUAAAAAAUUUAUGUAAUUAUCAUUUAUUUUAUUGUGACUUGAUUCGUUAUUAAAUAUUCUUUAAGCACGACAUAAAUAUUUUCAUAUUUGCACAAAAAUUUUAAAUAAAACGAAUGGUCAAACGUUGGUUGAAAAGUCAAUGGCAUCAUACAUUAAAAUACGGAGGGAGUAUUUGACGCCGUUGACUUUUUUAAAUAUGUUUAACCGUUUGUCUUAUUCAAAAAAUUUAAGUAAUUAUUAAUUAUUUUCCUAUCAUUUGAUUUAUUGUUAAAUAUACUUAUAUGCAUACAUAUAGUUUUACAUAUUUUAUAAAAAAAUUUAAAUAAGAUGAGCAGUCAAACAUGUGUUAAAAAGUUAAUGGUAUCAAAUAUUUAGAAAUGGAGGUAGUGUUAAACUACACGAAUUAAUCAAAUUUUGCAAAAUUUAUGUGGCAUGGUUCAAAUUUUCCCAUUAAUUAAUUUAAUCAAUUGCUCGCUCGUGAAAACGAUGUGGAAAUCUGUGGUCGGACUUAGCUAUGAAACUUCUCCUUUUCUUUUGAACGAAAACUUGCUAUAAAUUCAUCAAAUGACAAAACCUUUUUCACCAAACGAUCAUUGUAGAGCUAGCAGCUCUAUGGAACACAUCAAAAUGCAUUAUACCGUUAUGCACCAAGAGAAAACCGCUCUUAAAAAAUAACACAUGAACCGUGUAUUACUUCUAGGAGAUCACACAAACAACUGUUAUUCAAUAAUACUCCAUCCAUCCCAAAUUAUAAAAGAUUUCGGAUAAAUGUGACAUAUUCUAAUACUACGGAUAUAGAUAUAAAAUUUAUCCAGAUUCACAGUAGAUGUGUCACAUUCAUUUAAAAUUGUUUAUAUUUUGGUACAGAAGGAGAAGUGGUUUAUGUUGGUGUUGAUGGAAAAAAUCAAAUUUUAUCGUUAACAGUUGGGUCACAUAAACCACUAUUAUUCAAAGAAAUCAAUACAAAGUAACUAACCCAUAAGCCUGUAAGAUGCAAUGAAUCUCAAAUAAAUAUCCGUUGUUACUAUAUACAAUAUAUAUUGAUACAAAUUACACAACAAUUCUACAGAGAGACCACCGUUGCCACUUGCCACCAACAACUCAACUUUUUUUUUUACCAAAAAAAAAAAGUUAUGAACUGCAAACUCCUCCAAGACAUGCCCUGAUCAAACAGAAAAUCCUUCACAUAUAUUUCUACACAAGAACACGUUAAUUAAUUACUCCCGAAAACAUGAAGAAGAAGAAAUCACGAGCUAGCUUCAUCGCACGGACAAAAGAAAAAGAAAAAAAAAGGAGAAAAAAAAAACACAAAUUAAAAGCUUAGAAAUCAAGCUCGACCUGCACCUGCAGUGUUGUUCAUGGUUUCACUCGCCGGCCGGUCAGUCAGUACACGCAGAAGCCGCGGCGGCGCGGCGGCGGCGCGCCGCCGCCGGCGAGCAGCAUGAACAUGAUGACGACGAUGGCGACGAGGAGGAUGCCAUUGAAGAGGUUCUCGUCGAUGACGAGAAGGCACACCUUCCCCAUGAAGCCCAAGCUGAUAAUUUGCUAAUGAUCUCCUCCGAUUUGAUUAAUUACUUCGAUGGCGAAGAAGCAGAUCGAAUGCUAAUAAUGAUCUCUCUCUACACUAAUCAUCUUACUCUAUUUAUAUCGACUUAUCGAGGUGUGUGUGAGAGAAUGGAUGCUUUCUGUCUCUCUUUCUGGGUCAACUUCCAGAACCAAGUCCAGUUAGUUUUAACUAAAUUGGUAAUCUCGAUUAGCAAUAAAAUUAUGUGAUUAGCAAAAGUAAAACACGUUUUUUGCAGUUAGGUGAUGCGUGGUUAGUGUAUUUUUAAUAUUUUAUGGUGUGUGAUCACAUAGUGGUUGUGGUCUAACCGUGUGACGAAAUGGUACGGCGUUUUGGUUGGUUUUUGCUCGAGUUUGGUGGUAUUUCAAUUCCGGGCUGAAUUGUGGGAACUGUUCAUUGACAUAUCAAGCCUAGAUAGUGGGAAGAUUUCAUUGGAGAUUAUAUGUAGUUGGUAGUUUAUACUUUUGAAAGAGUUUUUUUUUUUUUUAGUGUGUGUAUGGACAAAAUCACUCUUGAUAGAGGCCAGUUCACCGAACAUAACAAGUACAAGUAUAUAGUCAUCAAGAAAAAAAAGUUGAUUGGUGUUUGAUUCGAUACAAAUCUAAACAUACUUCCAGCUGUUUUUUUUAAAAAAAAAAUUUUGGAGAGGAAAUCUUUCCAGCUGUUUAUUAAAUUUAGAGAAAUGGAGAAAAUAAAUUUCUUGUGGAUCUUUCCACUUGUAACCUGUCAGUCUCAUGGACCACACGUCUCUUUUAUUUAUUUACACCUGUCUAAAUAACUGUUCUUUUGUAUUCAUGGAUCAUAUGAAAUCACCAAGAAAAAUCACUCCCCUAGCAAUUUGACAAGGACGUAGCUAAUUAAUUAUCAUGUAUUAUUAUGGAGAAAAAGGUUGGUGUGGUACGAUUAUUAUUAUCACAAAUUUCAUAGCACAUAGGCAAGUUGCAACAACGGCUUGAAGAAAUUAAAUCCGGUGGCAUGUGCGUAUACAAUCCUCAUUAUGUCACACCGUUGACAUCAUAAAAAAUGUAAAAAAGAAAAAUCCUCUAAAAAAAGAUGACAUGAGAUCGAGUUGUAAUAUUACAAAAAUAUAUGGUGCAAAGCACGCUUGAACAAACAUAUACCCUGCGUUUGAUCUUGAUCGAUCCCUACCAUAGCUAAUUAAUCGUGAUUAACAAACUAAUUUAAUGGACACGCGUGAUCCAACACAAGCUUGCUGAUAUAAUACAAUAAGAAUCUGUGGUUAAUGGACGAUUAGUCAAGUGAUCAGUCCAAAUUAAGGCUCAACGUUUGUAUACCAAAUACACGGCCUGGACUUCACUGGCUUAAUUUAUGAGUCAAAUUGUGGACGAAAUUUCACUAGGCACGGUUACUGAACUACCGUGGACAAAGAAGCUCUCCCUAGAUUUUAUUCAUCUUUCUCAAUGGCCAUUUGUCACUCCGGUUCAAACUAAAUCAACUAAAAAUACAAAUAUUUUCUACUACAAGUCGCUCUCAGUUGAUUCUAUUCAACUCUUGUAACCACAGGGGCAGGUCAUUCUCAAGGACCAGUUUUGUGAAGAAAAAAAAUCAGUCGAAUUGUGGAAACAAACAAAUGUGUGGAAGAUGCAGUGCAAAUGAGGGAGAAAAGACCUGCCUAUGUCAAAAAGUUAUAUUCUGGGACGGAGACGAGAUCAACUCAACUGUGCACUCGUCAUCUUUGAUCUUGAGAUACACAUAUAUAAUAAAGACCUGGAAGAUGCAUUAUAUGGUCAGAUUUCAGAGUCGCCGUCUUCUGCUGCUCCACACACCACACACCACACGUAUGCAGAACGGCAAAAAGAGGUGGACAGGGUUCAAACAUGAAUGCCAAGUUCUUGUCUGAUCUUUGUUGUCUUAACUUUGUUAUUAGUACUAACUUUUACACAAACGUGAUAAGGGAGAUGAGGGGAAAAAUGCAUUAGCUAUGUUCUUAGAACAUUAUUAUUGUCGUGUUAUAGAAAGAGGAAUCAUGUACGUCACGGUCACAUAGCAUAUUGUUCAAUUCCAGGUAAAUAAUCAUCUGAAAAAAAAUGGUAUGAUCAAAACUCAGAAGAGAAAAGGUUGGCCAGUGAUGAUUAUAUAAUCACCGUAGAUUUUCCUAACCGAGAACACUGGAAUUAUCUAGUAAAAGGGACCAUUAGACAGCGGCAGCUAGGUUGAUAGCACCAUGCUCCAAUAUAGUCCUGUUGGUUCACAGAUUCACAGAGCUUUACAGGCAUUCAUAACAAUAAAUUUCCACCCCGUUGCUUGGUAAAGUAAAAGGGAGUGUACAAAUAUACAUGAUUUUAAGGGCUAUGAAACUCUACAGCAUUACAUGGUGAGAAACUGAAAACCGAUGAAACGCCAACCAAAAUUGGCACAGGGGAAAUACAGGAAGGGUUUUGGCCACAAGCUGCCUCUCCAGAUUUGGCCAGAAAUGGUAUACUGAAAGAACAGCAGCUCCACGUUGCAUAUAGAUAAAUGAUCACACAGCCAAUCGGAUGGUUCAUCAGUCAUCACUUCGGAUGGUGAGAACCCAUGAUCAUAGCUUGGUGCAAGAAACGGUGAAGAAAUACAAGGCUGAGGCCCUCUCUUAUGAUCCCUAUGAACAUCACUUGCACAAUGCCAACCAAGCCAGCACCUGACCAAACUUCGGCUCAACCACAGCGAGGUAAACGCUGCAGUUCAGCGCCCAAAUAUGAGGCGGCGUCAGCAAGGCAGCCAUCAUGUGAACCCUUGAAUGCCGACACGAGUGCUUCUACUCGCAUCAAGGCUGACAAAGAUAUCGACACGAUCAUUCCUUGCGCUAGAUAUUGCCUGCAGGAGAAGGCCAGGCAAUACAGCAGGCGAGUCAGCCUUAGGCAGGUGCCAUGCUUCAGCAGGUCCAGAACAACGCUCAGUUUAGGAAGAUUGGUCAGCAAGCCCACCGUAGCCUCCCGAGGUGCUGCUUUGAGUAACAGCACCAAGCAGUCUGAUGCCAAAUCGCUUAUAUGUGGAUCUGAACUUCCAACUAGGUCGAGGAAAAUGCCCAUGUUGCCACCAAAGUCGCAUAUAUCCAUGACGCAUGAUUGUUGAUCGACAGCAAUGCUCAUGCUGAAGGCACUAUCAACAAGGAGUGCGGGCUCUUUGGAAAGGGCCACAAUUUUGUCACUGCUGAUGCCCCGGAUAAUGAAUGCUCUGCAAAGUUCCAAGGUUGGUUCUAGAAAAUCAUCCAUAUCUUUUGCAGUCACAAACUCCAGCAGGUUCCCUAUUCUUCUGACAACUUGAAGCUGAGAAAGAAUGUCGGUGUCCAUAUCGGGAGCAGAUGCCAAUGCAAAGCAAAGCUUGACAUUACUUACAUUUGCAUUAGACAAAUCUCCUAGCAAAAAUUCAAAGCACCGGGAUACUGUUGCUUCAUUGAGAAUAUCAGAAACCUUAACAUAAUCAUGCUCCAUCAGCAUUACCAGAAGUUUCUGGGCAUAUAUAGGUAUUGGAUCUUCAUCCUCUGCAAAUGAUGGAUACAUGGGGAGAAAAUACUUCUGAGAGAUCUUUUCCAGGUCAGAUACUGUUUGCUCAUUAGACGUCAAUGAAGAGUCACUGAAGAUCACAAUCAUCACAUCGGACAGUAUCUUUAAACAUAGGAAUCUGGCAUCACCAUCUUUAUUGCCCUUGUACAAGACGGAUAAGCUUGGAAGGAUUCGACUUGUGAAUAUUUUGUGUUCAUUAAGUAUAACAGAAGGCUCCUCCGUGGCUGCCUCAAGAACCCUCAAUAGUGUCAUUUGAAAAUCAUCCCGAGCCUGGAUGUAUAAGACACGUAAAUAAUCAGAUAAGGUCAAGAUAUGUUAAAAAAUACAGUAGUAAUGCAAAACUGUUAAGGCAAGAGCCACAGCGCAGCAUCAAAACAAAGGAUGGGAUUGAUUUGACACUUAAGUGCAGUUACAAAAUGAAUGUGGUCGUCAUGUUUUUUCAUCAUGGCAUAACCGUGCGUGAAGUUCUUAGAUCAUACCUGAAAUGGUGCUUCCAAAAUUUUCAUAAGAUUUGCCAACUGAAGCAAUACAUGGCUCGUCACAACUCUGUGAUUGAAUGAAACACUCCCAAGAAGAUGAAGGAUAACAGGAAACAAAUGAAUUAUGCUCUUUGGAUGAGCUCGUCCAGUUAAAGCAGUAGCAGCUCCAUGACGCUUGCCUCCCAUAACCUGUUGUAUAUCACUAGAGACAGUGUCAAGGAUGCCUGGGACCAAUGAAGCAACCAACUGCACAAAUGCUUCUGUGCAUUGAUGAAUGAAGCCUUCCUUCUCCUUUCCCAAUCUAUCAACUGCUGAUAGUAGUUUUGCAUUGCAAAAGAAAUGAGGAAGCCAUCUUCGACUGUUCUUGCAAAGAAGAGCAACAAAUAGAAGGGUUUUGCCACGCAGAACAUCAGUUCCCUGUUCAAUAAGAGAGAUGAGUCCAGGAACCAACUGCUUCUCUUCUGUUAACGACUGAAUGUAGCGGUUCAUGGUUGGUAUGAUUUGGCUGUUAACUAGUGCUGAAUUCAGAAGAUUCAAACUGAUCUGCUGCUCACGUGAAUUGCCUUUAAUGAGUGUGCAUGCGAUAUCCUUGAAGGCCAGCCUCUCCAGUAUUAAAUGAAUACAAGAUGAGCUGAAGCGAGCUAAGCGUGCCAAACAAGAUCCUGCAAUAAGUCUUGUAUUCUCCUGCUUACCAGUUGCUCUAUAGAUGUAGCACAGGUGACUGAUUACAUCUUGGGAAGCGAAACGUGAAGUCCAAUCUGUCCCUUGGCUACAGAUGUUAUCAAUGGUUCGUAAAGCAUAAAGCUGGGCUAGAUCAUCUUCACCUUUACGCAAGAUUGAUGACACCAGCGCAAUUACAGAACUUGGAACCUGCACAACUUGCAAAGUAAAAUCAUUAAUAAAACACAAUAAUUAAUGUCAUAGUUGUGAAUCAAGAUAAAAGGAUUCCUCACAUGUAUGUAUAUAUAUAUGAUAUAUAUACUACUUGACCAGUAAGAUAUGAAAGUAAAGGUCUCAUUAAUUCAUUAACACUAUUACAUAGCUGACCUAUAUAUGGUUCCACAAAUACAAGAAUAUAGUCAUUAAAAGGAAAGCAGGUUAAAACACUUGAAAGAAAAUUGGUAUGGAAUUAUGUCCCUUAAGUUCAUCAGGCCCUUUGGAGAGGCAAAGUUCAACCUAUAGGUGAGAGCAAGGUUAUCAAGUUGCAGAAACAGAAAUUGACAAAGAGAUCCACCCUCAAUUCAUGGACAUACAAUCACUAAAACUAACGGAUAGAUGUAAUUUGAAUCACUCCUGAUUAGGCUAGCCAUUGAACAGGAUUGGUAUGUGGUUUUCUGUAAAAUCAUACAGGUUUGACUAACAAUAAACAUGUGCAUAGACACAAAAUCAAAGAAAAGAGCAUGUAUAUAAACAUAAUUUAGUCCAUAUAUUAUAGUAAUAGUUAUGAAGGUGGGCAGUGUGAUUAUGUGGUUAUGUGAAAAAUUCAAUAAUGCAGUAUAUACUUUCAACUGAAAGAAGCUUCCACUUCUUUUUUUUUCUAAAACGCAGAACUAAGCGUCAUUCCAUUGAGAAGAGAGAAAUAUUUACAAAGAAAGGGUCAAAUGACCCUUCCCACGAAGAACACUUCCCAACAAGCGCCACACAUAAGAGGCCAAAAGGAGCUUCCACUUCAUAACAUAAACAGUGAGCAAGGCACCUACGUUCCAUGCAGGAAUCAGAUUGAAUCAGUAAAAGCUCUUAGAUAUUUCUAGCACCAGUAACUUGCCAUUGAUCUUCUAACUGCAGGUUACUAUAUAAGAUAGCCUAAGCAUAUGACCCAACAACAUGCAGAUAAAUUACUAAGCAUGCAGACAUAACAUACUCAUCAUUUUGAGUUUCUGACCUGCCAAGAAGCUGUGGCCCUGUUAUCCUUCAAAGGGGAUUCUUGGGCAUUGAUUUCUUUGGUAUCUUGAUCAGAUUGAGUAGAAAUGUAGAACAGUAAUUCUCCUAGUGUUGCCAUACAGAAUCGCCUGAGUUUAUCAUGCUUGUCCCUUAGACCAUCUGAUAGUGCAUUAAAAAUCCCUGAACUUGCCAGCUCUAUAUCAAGGAUAGUGGAGUAGCGUAUCAACAAUCCCAUAAGUGAAGCAAUUUGGACACGCAAUACUGAAGUUUUUGACAGACGGAGCAUUUUUAUAAGCAACAGCAUAAUUGGACCAUUUGUGAUUAUAUUUGCAGCAUCAGAAUUGAUGCUUAACAUCUCCAGGUAUUUGAUGAUAUUCUGUUUCUCUGAAACCUGAAAAGUACCACUUAAACUCUGAAGUAUCUGACUAUUGAAUGCAUUCAUUUGUUCCCGUGGCAACUUAAUAUAAUCAACAGCAGGAAGAGCUUCAAACGGAAGCAUAGGGACUGUCUCUACAGCUUUAUCUCCUUUCCUACCAGGCAUAACUGGUUUAACAGCAAGAUCUGUUGGAUGCCAGAAUGCUGCAGAGAUGUCAGAUGGCUCGGAACCAGCUGCGGCACCUGAAGUUGUCUUUGCUCGUUGUGCUUUCCUCAUACAAAUACUUGGUGGAGUGGCCACCACAUCAAGAUUUUCUGAACAAUUAUGUUCAGUUUUUAUCAUGGUUUCAGCCUUAACUGGGCCUUCAUCUGUGAGCAUAUCCAUCUGAUUACUCAUGCAGUUCUCUUCAUUACCAUCAGUGCCUUGAGUGGAAAGUUUUUCAUCUUCUGCGGAUCCAGGAUUGUCUGAUCCAUCAUUGUCAUCAGGUGCAUCACCUUCUGGAUUUUCACCAAAAUCAAGUUCCAUAUCAUUGUUUUCAAUCUUAACUUCUGUAUCAUUCUCAGAAGCUUCUGUAGGGUGUCGCCUGUAGUUCUCCUUGUCUUUUUCUCUCUGCAAAUUCCUCUUAGCUACACGAGACAUCCUGAGGAUAUUUACACCCUUCAAUCCAUCAGCCUUACAGGAAGGUUUUGCAUUGUUUUUCUUACCACUUAGCAUAUUCUUAACAGGGGUGAACACCUUAGCAGAAUUUUCGUCCUUCUUCCGUAGGCCAUCACGGGGCUUGGGUGGUGUGGACUGUCUAGAAGGUUUAUCACCAUUUCUCUCAACUAAAUAUGGUGUAGCAGAAAGGUCGACCAUGUUGUCAAAGGCAGGCUGAGGAGGUAAAGGAAUAAUUGACAUUCUGCUCCUCCAAAAGUGAUGCUCGCAUAGUUCAGACCACUGUAAUCUUUCAGCAGGAUCUUUCAUGAGUAAGCAAUUGAUCAGAUUUUGAAAGGAUCUUGAGGGGUUAUCAGGCAAAGGUGGUGUAGGAUCUGAAAUUAUAGAUUUGACUAGCUGGGUAAAUUCAUUAGCCACAAAAGGGGGCCUUCCUGAAUAGCAUUCAUACAAUACACAACCAAGUGCCCAGAAAUCUGAAGCAUAUGAAUGCACUCCUCCCUCUUGGAACAACUCAGGAGCCAUAUAACAUGGAGUCCCCUUCAAAGGUUGCGGCACCUACACGAGGAGAAAUUAAGCUGGGAAAAUAAUCAAAUGUAGAUGGAAACACAAGGAAAUGAAAUGAGAUACAAAAGGAAAAUGGAAGCUCACAUCUCCAGGAUUGGUCUUCUCUAUGUCUUUCAAACGCCUUGCUAAUCCAAAAUCGCACAGCUAGAAAAUUAAAGAAAUAUAUAUCGUUAGUUACAAGCUAUUGCCUCACUGUAUGAAUUAUUUGAUCCAGUAAGUACCUUCAUGCACCCAGAUUCAUCAAGUAAAACAUUUGAUGGUUUCAGAUCACAAUAUAUAAUUCCUUGUGAAUGCAAGAACCUAAAGUCCAAAUUGUUUUGACAAAUAAGAUUUCACACAUCAUACAGUAGAAAUAAUGAAACAAGGAAAGAAACUUUACUGAAGAGCUUUCACAAGAUCAUAAGCCAAGUCAUGUAUAGAAUUUUCAGGCAGCUUCUUAUCCUGCAGGUCAUUGAAGAAAUGUAAAAUGUUCAUAUGCAAAUAUACUAACACAAAAUACUAAAAAUUUGGGUACAUAUUAGAGCAUACUUAAAUGUGACAUGUACAUAAAUAGACAGCCAAAGCAAAAGUUUUUAACCUGUCAGUUUGACAAUGAAUUUUCCUUCCAUUCUACUACCUCCAUCCCAAAAUAUAAGAAGUUUUAGGGUUAAGCCCGUAUGAAGAUUGAGGGGGAGGGGAGGCUGUGAUUGGUUGAGAAAAGAAAGUAAAUAGAGAAAUUAAAUGGGGGAAGGUUGUGAUUGGUUAAGAAGAGAAUGUAGGUGAAGAAGUUGUUAUAUUUUGGGAUGGAAGGAGUACCAGCUAUAAGCUAAAAAAAAUGAACAUGUUUUUUUAAAAAAUUUCUUAAGGAGCAAACAAAAGACAUCUCAGCAUGCACAGAGAGAGAGAGAGAGAGAAAUAUUUGUAAAUGAAGCAAAUGCAAAUCAAAUACAAACGUGUGCUAUUGUACAAGUAAACAGCUGACAGCGUGCUUUGAACUAGAAAAUGGUAUGCUGCUUAAACUGACAAGCGAGAUACCUGCUCAAGCAAGCCCUUUAGGUCUCCACCAACGCAGUACUCCAGUAUUAACCAAAAAUGAGCUGAGGUUUCGUACCUGGUACAACAGGUACAGGCAUAAGUAUGGUUUGUAGUACAAUGUUAAGGGAACAAUAACGAUGAUUGCAACCAAACUGCCAGACUAUACUUGUCAUUAUUGUUCUAAAAAGUGAACUGCUUGCCAUUAUUGCACCACAACACUAGUCCCCUAGAAACGUACCAUGAGUAAAAUUUCAGAACAUUCGGAUGAUCUAAGGAAUGAAGCAUUCGGACCUGCAAAGAAAAGUUCAGAAGUACUAUUAGUGGAGUAAGCAAACAUCCUCAUUCCUCAGGCUCAUUAACUAUUUUUCUUACCAUGCUAGCUAAAAGAUUAUUUUUUAAUUGAAGACUAGAACAUGUGCUCAUCUUCUAUCCAGAAAAUAUUAUCUAAACUACUGAUCUUCACCCUUAAGCGCUUUGCUCAAAGAGAAGGUACAUUCCUGACCAAAUAACAUAACAUUUGACAGCACACCAAAUGUAACUUAUGUUGCCUCAUUUCAUCUUCUCUAGAAAUGGCUAUAAGAAAUAGAUUGUUUCGCACGAUUAUCAGGAAAUCAAAAUCUAAACAGCAUCCCAGCUUAAGCAUGUAAAGUGCUUUUUCCCAGGAAAUAAAUAGCGAUCCACUAGUACAUCAAGAUACUAUAUAACGAACAAUGUAACAUUCUGCCCAUUUAAACAACAUCAGCUUACAAGGAAACUCUGCACUCUGCAUGCCCAGAAAACAGCGGUUAACGAAAGCCACGGUAUCCACACAGUCUAAAACAGUCACUUAAACUAUCAAAUCAAUCUUGGAUAUCAUAUCACGAUUUGCUUCCGGGAAAUCCAUAGGCACCCGCAGAUCAAAUCACUCCAAGGACCAUUUCACGGACCAAAUUAACCAGGCCCGCCAGGAGCCAAGCCCUCCGAUUCAAAAUAUCCCCACCCAAAAUCGCGGCGGCGCAUGCCUACCAGCUACUACUGAUGAAAGAGCAGGGAGACGACGGCGCCGCGCUCACCUCAUUGAGGACCUUGGACCGCUGCGACUUGUCGACGCUCUUGACGGCGAAGUACUCGAUGCUCUUCUUCUUCCGCCCCUUGUACACCGUCUUCCGGACCACCGCACCCAAAAAAAAAAAAACACCAAAAACAAAUCAGAAAUCUCACCCAUCUGCACCCAAUCCGAGCGGAUCCGGGGGCGCGGGGAACACAGGGAAGACGAGGAGAGGAAGGCGGAGAGGGGGGUUACCGAGUGCUUGCCGCGGCCGAUGGCCUCGUAGACGUGGAAGUUGUUCAUGGCGGAGCACCACCACCACCAGCAGCAGCUUCUCCUCCUCCUCUUCUCGUCGACUUCUCGUCGACCUCUCGUCGACGGCGACGGCUAGGGUUUGCGAUUUGAGGCGGAGGAAUGGGGGGGGAGAGAGAGAGAGAGAGAGAGAGCGGGAUUUCGAUUUGAGAUUGGCGCUCGCUCGAUCGGCUAGUUUUGGAGUUUUGGGGCGUUCCGUUUCGGCGUAGUUUUUUCAAACUUUUUUUUUUUCGUCUUCGGGUUGUGUUUUUUUUUCGGAUGGGUCCUUCGCUUUUCUCCAUAUUAAUACGAAGUCCCCGUCUUGCGACUCGGUGCCUCGGUGGGUGCAACGGCUACAAGAUUUCUUUGCCUUUUUUGAACGCAACAGCGAUGGAACCAUCUACCAAGGAAGUGUUUUUUUAGCAAAAGAAUAGUCCCAUAUGGUUAUGAUUAUGUGACAAUUAUGUGGAUUUGGUCUAAACCUAAUGUGACUGAUGUACCCAUUUUUAGUGUUUUAAGAUAAAAUUUAAGCUCUCUUGGAUAGAUUAGUUUUUUUACUCCCUAUUUUCAGCUUAUUAAACCAAAAACAAAUUCUAAAGGAGAGAUUAUACGUAAUCUCUUGUUGAUACCUGUUUGGAUUAAUGUCAAAAUGUGCCCAUAUGUAGCUUAUAAAUAGUAAAUGUGUUAGUUUGAUUUGAAGCCAAAUGAUUGGUAAUGCCCAUGCUUAAAUUGGCAAUAAUUCUAGAACUCUAUUCACAGUAAUAUAUAUAUGGGUUAAUUAGAUACAUGCCAUGAAAAUUUUGCCGGUUUUGAAAUAUGCCAUUACUAUUUACGUAUUUGGAAUGAUGCCAUUGCUAUUUGUUGUAAUCUUAGUGGUGCCGCUAAGAUACGUAUUUUGCAUGUAUUGGACGAAAAUGCCCUCAUCUUCUACCUCUCUCCCUCUUCUCUCAUCUUCUAGCUCUUUCCCCGCUGCUUCUACUCUGGCGCCGUCACCGCCGCUGUUGCUGUCGCUGCCGCUCGCCGCUCCGCCGCCGCCGCUCGCUCCACCGCUGCUGCUCGCUGUUGCUGCCGCUCCGCCACCGCUCGCGCCGCUCGCUGCUGCCGUCGGUCGCUUCGCCGCCGCCGCUCACGCCACUUCGCCGCCGCCGCUCGCCGCACGCUGCUGCCGCUCACUGCGCCGCCGCUCGCUCCGCCGCUGCUGCUCGCUGUUGCCGCCGCUCCGCCACCGCCGCCGCAGCUCGCGCCGCUCGCCGCCGCCGCCGGUCGCUUCGCCGCCGCCGCUCGCGCCACUUCGCCGCCGCCGCUCGCUCCACCGCCGCCGCUCGCGCCGCUCGCCGUUGCCGCCGAUUGCUCCGCUCGUUGUUGCCGCCGCUCCGCCGCCGCGCCGCUCGCUCCACCGCUGCAGCCGCUUGCUCCGCUCGCUGCUGCCGCCGCUCCGCCGCCACCAGUUCUCUGAGCUGUGGAAGAAAGGAGGGGGAGAAAAAGAAGGAAAGAAGGGUAAUUUGGUCCAAAUUUUUUCAUAAAUGGUUGGUAGUGGCAUAUCUUAAAUAUUUGUAAAAUUGCAAUGGUAUGGUUCCAAAUACGCGAACACUGAUAGCAUAUUUCAAAUCCGGCAAAUUUUUAAUGGCAUAUAUCUAAUUAACCCUAUAUAUAUUGUCUCCCAAUAACAUCAAUGCAAACACAUUCACCUUUAAUACUACCCUACCAAAACAUUAGUAGUGUCAAAAUUUGCUUAAAUUUUGGUACGGUACUAAGCCAAACAAGCCCAUAAUCUUCCACAUCUUCCCUGAUUUGAACGUGCUUAUCGUAAAAAAAAAACCAUGAUUAAAUUAUUGAACUAUGGAGGACUGGAGGCUAUAAAUUAUAAUCUAAUUUGAGUUUAAUUCCAAAAGAAUAUUACGAGCCCUUAGCCCGGUCAAAAUAUCGGGCGUGGAAAGCCGCCAUUCUAUAUCAGCUUCAUGCUAGAGCACCUCUGCUGUUGAUUCAGUAAUUCACUUCUAAAUUUCUAGGACAAAAUUUCUAUGUUUCCUUUCCUAAAUAAUAUGUGGAGCUCCAGAGUCCAGAUUCCGGCCAUUGGAUCAAGCCAUCCGAGCACCGUAUCGCGUCAUUAGCCCUGCACAAUUUCAGAACUUCCAGCAGGAAGAACACGGGAAGACUAUCGAAGUGUGUACUCAGAAAGCUUAUUUGCAACUGUCAACUUGGGAGAAUUGCCCUUCAAAGCUAUUCGUCAGCUUCUCGGCAGCUGCUUCUACCCUCUGAUUGUCCUGAAAUUAAGGUAAAUAAAUGAACUCUGUAAAACUACUGCUCUGGGGAAUUAGAUGUAGUACUCCAUACUGGAAAUGCAUACUCCCUCCAUCCCAAAAUAAAUCAACCUAAGGCAGGAUGUAACAUUACCUAGUACAAUGAAUCUGGACAAGGGCAUAUCCGGAUUCGUUGUACUAAGUAGUGUCACAUCAUAGCAUAGAUUAGCUAGAAACUAAGGUGUCCCAUUAGUGCACAAACAGGACAAGCUUACAUCUGUAUGCAAAUUAGUUGUUGGUGGUUAACGAUUGUCUUUGCUUUGAUUAAAACAAGGGUGCCAAAAAAGUACAUAACUUCUCUUAUGUUAUUUCCAAAGAACUCGUAAAGACAAAAGUUUUACAUGCUAGUAUGCUGUUCUGCGGAAUAAAUGGAGUCUGCUACAAAGAGAUCGAGCACAUACCUUCCCAAUAAAACUCACAACCAAAGGCCCAGAUCUUGAGAUCCGAUAACAACCUGCACGUCAAAAACAUUAACCACCAGAUCAGAAAUUUUGCAAAAUCAUUUCCCACAAAGAAAAUAAUGGGAGCAUCAAAUCAUACCUAUGUAUACAUCAGAAAAAUCUAUGCAUAGUUUUGCAACCACUGGGGCAAUUUUAACCUGAAAAAGAACACAGUAAAAGUUUAUCAGAUACUGAGAUACAUAAUGAAGUACUUCUCCAAAAGUAAAAGUUCCAAUUAACUUGCUAGUUAAUUGGAGAAAAUUUUCUCCAAGAAGUGAGAAAAUUCCCUACAGGAUUUUCCAAGAAGUUUUUUUUUUCUUUUUGAGAAUUAAUGGAUAAGGUGGAUACUAAACGUAAAAAUGGAAUUAACAAGUGUGCAAUAUUUAUCCAAUAGUUGCCAGGAAAGUAACAUCUAGGAUUGAAGGAAGGUAAAGACAAAUAGUGAAAUAUAAAACAGCUACACAAAGAAACAAUCGCGAGGCAUAGCAUUUGGUCAAAAUCAAGAUUAUUGAGAUACUACAUCAAUAGGGGUCAUUUACAUUGUUCUAUUUUAAUGAUUGAUAAGUGAAAUUAUUUAAGACCAAACAUACUAUAAUGAUCUAUUUUGGAACUGACAGGGAUAAAAUAUGAAGGAACUGAUUCUGAUAACACAACUAGAAUAAAAACAAAGCAAAUUCUGACUGAGUCGAAGAGACAUACAUCUAAUAGCGACGUGCAGAGAUGCUUUGACACAAAAGAUUUAGCCAUCACUAAACCGCUCUCUUGUGUGUCUAGAAGACAACCCCACUCCGUUUCAAGCUCAUCCACAUUAGUUGCAGCGAGAAUGACCACAUUUUUGCAUUUGAUCUGCAUAAGAAACCAGUUAUCUAUAAGACAAAUGAAAAAAAAAGGAAGCAAUUUCCGACUCUCUUUUCAUAGUUUACAGUAGGCAUUUUCGUCACUUCCUAAUUGGAUGUCAGGCUUUUCAUUCAGGCAUACUUACUAAACUUUGGAUAUAUGUUAAUACCUCUGUCCCGAAAUAUAAGGGAUUUUGGUAUGCGACUUAAUAAAUGUGCAUGGACCUUGUUACUACAUCAGAUUAUAUCAUUGGCACAUGCUAACUUUGGAGAAAUUACACCCCUUGUAAAGCCAAAAAUAUGUUCACCAAAUAUGUAUUUCAGAAGUAAUUCAAAGAAAUGCAUUAAAACAACAUAACGUACCAAUGGCAACGGUAGCAUUUUGUGAUGCAAUAAUUCCGUAAUACCUUCUGGCAACAAAGCCAUCUGAAAGAGAUGUGGAGUUAAAUGAUAAUACUGCAGCUUGCACUAUGCUAGAAUAAACAUGCACAGCACUAGAUAUUCAAGAAUUUAAUUGUAUUUGCGAACCAGAUUACCUCAUUUCGAUCACCAGUGUAAUUGUCUCCUAUCAGUUGACUAAGGUAUUCUUCAAACUCUUCAUCAGGAGCCUAUGAAAAUUCAAAUUAAACAUGUUGAUAACAGUAAAUGGCAUUUGUGAUUUGUUCAGUCAAAUUCAUGAAGCAACCAUUUAGUGUAUGACAACAGUUCAAGGCUAUGCACAUUUUUCCAACAGAACCAGCAAGAGAGCUGAAAGCUAUGCACACUGAGGACUUUCUAUAUUUCAAAGGGCUGUCAUAAGAAUAUUUUCAUGUGAAACUGCAACCAAUAGAGCAACAAGCUUUCGAUUUGUCAUCUGAAAUAAGAAAUGCAGCAAAUGCACAAAACAAUACUAGGAACAAUGAUUUUAUACAAAGACAAACAUGAAUGACCACUCUAAUAAGACAUUGCUGAAUUACUUGUAUCACUAGAAGCAAGAUGAUUUUAGAAUAAAGGAACACUGAAGAGCAGAAGCUCAGCACAAAGUAGAGGCACAGCAGAACUAGAGCAGAAGGAUAAAGGUGAUCAUGACUAACAAUUAGGCUGGGAACCUACUAUAACAAAUCCUACAGCGAAAAGUUUCAAUGAACGCACCAGACGAACUCCAAAUGCUUUUGCAACGCCAGCCAGCGAAAUGUCUGAAUGUAAAGGCCCAAGUCCUCCAACAAGAAACACCUGAAAUACAAUGUGAAUAUCAUCACACACAUUAUUAAUCCAAAAACUUCAUAAAAUGAAAAGGUCGAUAAGCUAACCAUGUCAUCUGUAGAUUUGCAACGUUCAACUUCUUCAGCAACAGAAUCAAUCUGCAUAACAAUAAUUUCUGUUAGAUAUUAUGUGCCAGAAAACUGGCAAAGUUGGCAAGUAGAUUGCAUAGUUCACAGCAGUUGCAAGUAGGCUGCAAGCUCCCACAUGGAGCCUAUAGGACAUACAACUAUUUCGAUUCAUUUAACUUAUCUUACUUCAUUGGAAACAACUGCUACAUGAGAAACUCGCCAGCCAAUUGCAUGAAGCUUCUUGCACAAGCCUGCACCUAGCUUAUCCUCAACUGUGCCGAACCUGAAAUACCACGCACGUGUAUCAAUAAUUGUAUAAAACAACUGUCAAUGAAUCAUUUACACAAAAAACAAUAAACCAGAGUAUCAGCACGGCAACACCAAAUUCUCCAACAGUAGUAAAGAAAAAUCCUUAUAUUUUGAGCUUUGGAAUGCCUGGUUGCACUUUGAAUUGACUUUUAAUGAUUCUGAACACAGACAAAUGAGUCAAUGAAACUCAUUCCACUAUCAUUUUCCCCCCUAGAAAUGAAGAUGUUUCUACUGUAUCAAAUAGCGGGAGAGGUAUAAACACAGCUGAUCGCAUUUGCUCUUCAGUGUCCAAACUACUGAUAAAAUAUACUUGUUGCAUUUAUCCAAAAGGCAAUGCCAAAAAAUAAACUAAAUUAGUGUAAAUGUACCAUAAAUUUCAGAGAGAGAGAGAGAGAGAGAGAGAGGCCAGUGUGCCAGUAGCCCAGUACUGCCAAAGAAAAGGCUGUUGGAACUGCAAGAACCUUGGAAUGACAGAAUUAUAUCUGUAGAGGCAAAUUGGAAAGAUUACUCACAAUAUUUCAUCACCAACUACAAUGAUCGACGCUGAGCGUGAGAUCGUCUGUUCCACCUCAGUACUGUUUGUACCAUUGCUUGAAACAGAACUAAUAUUCUUCUUUGUUCUGCCAGCUCUUUCAAGCCUUCCGUCUGAUAACAUGUAUGCUGGCCUAAAACUUUUCCCAGUUGUUGAAUCACAAAGAAGCGCAUUGGGAACAGUAUCAUAUAUGCUUCCAAUGGAAGUAUACCUAGAAACAACACAAGUACAUGACAUUGUAAGAUAAACUAGAAAGUUUAUAUGGAAAUCUAUAUAGCACUCUCAAGUGGCUUAAAUUACAAGGUAACUUUACAUAGCUGAUGUUCCACAAGCCAUUUUAUAUAAAUUUAUUUAAAGUAACAACAUGAUAAACGGCAUUUUUUGACCCCAUAGGUAUCGAUACGCUAAACAUUCAACAGAAGUUAUGCAUACAGACCAUUAAAAUUUUGGAUUAUGAACAUGAAAAGGAAACCUACCCUUGAUCAUAGAGGCUGCAGUAUUUCACCUUACAGGUCAACAGGAAAGACCAAACAUCCCUGAGGCAGAAGUAUAGUGUUCCUUAGCACAUGAAUAUUAGCAGACUAGGAGGCACCUUUUGAUUGAUUUACAUGAUCAGGAGGAAAACCUGUAUGACCAGUCCAAUAUAGGAUUGACCCUCAUGAAAGGAGGCCAGCCAGGUGAACUAGGCGAGAACUGCUCUUGACCAACCUAUAAUCCCAAACUGUAGUAAGUAAUAGGUUUAUCGGGAGUCUAGGGACAUCAAUAAGUGAAAGGUCUAUGGGCAUGAGGAUUGGACAUAACAAGUCUAUCGAGAUUUGAAGAGCAACUAAACAAGGGAACAAGAAAAUUACUGCAUUUGGAUCGCCAAUUCUAGUACCAAUAAAAAUUGCUUUAGUAGGCCUCUCUUUCAAUAGGCCUUCUAGGCCAGACUUAAAAUCCGAGCGGAUAGUUUCCAGUGGCAAACCAUAACUGUGGAGAACGGAGGACAAAGAAUAUUUCAUUUAACUUCUCAAGGUUAGCAAAUAAACAAAGACAACGAAUCUUAGUGAUUUCUUACGUUGAGACAGUUUCAUAAGUGAAUGAGUUGAUUUCAGGGAAAGCACAAGGGCUCUCAAAAUAGAUGGUGCGCACAGGACAGUUUUGGAUAGUAUUCAUUUCGACUUCACCAUCAGAGCUUGAUUUGUGGAGGUAGUAGCCAGCCCGAAGUAAAUGCAACAGAACCUAUUGAUAUAUAGCAUUCAUAUCUUGUUAAACUUGCUAAUAGAAAAAACCGUCACUUAACAUACAGAAGAAAAAUGACAAGCAAGAGAGAUUAUAAAGAUAUUACUGUUGAAUCCUUCCCACCAUUAAAGCUGAAGGCAACUUCCUCAAACCUGGAAAAUGAAAUUUCUGAGAAUGAGAUUUAGGAUGUUCCUGUAUUCAAUGUAUAUAUAAAAUGAGAGCAUUCAAACCAACCCCACCCUCUAUUGAAUAUCCAUCCUGGACAAGUGCAGAACCAUUUAAAAAAACUAAAUAGGGAAAUUAAAGGAUAGGGUGCCAAAAAGAACUGUCAAUAUGCAUUUGGGGAACAUCUGCCUUGUGCCUUAUUCACAUAAUCCAGGUAUAACUGGUUGAAGUUUUCAAAGAAGACUAAGUCCCCGUGCACUGCAAUGAUAUUUAAACUCCCCACCAGCCAUUACUUAUAUCAUGUUCAACACAACUGGACAUCCCACAUUCCAGUUAUUCAAGAAGUUUGCAUGAUUAGAAUUAUAAUUCAUCAUUCACUGAAAAAAUCUUUAGUGUCCUACAGAAAUGUCAUUAUGACCUUACCAAAAUAUACUCUGCAUUGGAACAGCAUGAAGAUUUGGAUCAGAACAUGUACACCAUCAUACUUACAAGCUAAAAACAUAGCAGUCACACAACCCAGUUGGCAUGAUAAAUGUGCCUGAUAGUAUAGUUAGGAGAAAAGGUAAAAAUUUGACUCCAACUAUGUGAUUUCAAACACUCGACAUCCUCAAGAAAUUGGUAGGCAGUGUUGCAUUUUCACUCGAAUUACAUAUUCUGAGCCGCUUGAGAUAUAGAAACUGAAACUAAAAUUGAAAGUUUAUGAAUCGAUGCAUGUAAUUUUGGAAGCUACUUUAAAGCAUGCAGGCACAUACUUUCAUCACAGACUCAGAUUAUUUAGCUCAAAAUUUGCAGAUGUAUUCCUCUGCAAAGGAAAUGUGGAAACACUGGAUGGACCUUUCCCUGGUUUAAGAUGACGUGACAAACAAGCAUCAUGGGUUUUCACUCCCCGUAUGGAUGUAGUUUGAUUUAGAAUCUCCUUUCUCAUCCAAAGAAACUCGAUUUUAAGUUAAGUGUUGACUAAAAAAGGAAACAGUUUACAACUCACAAAAUGGAUGUAUAAAUAUUUAGCUCAUCAGAACUGGCAUAAGAACAGCCGAUACAACCUGACUAGCCAACAACGAAAACAAUGUACCUACUCCCGUUGUAUCCUGGACAGCAUUCAAGACACAGGUACUUUAAUCCGUGGUCCGAAUCAACUGAAAAUACAGUUCGACAGAGCAAUCCAGCCGAAAUCCAAUCGAUCGAGACUAGACGAUUGUUGCGGCAGCCAAUCCAAAUAGUCUAGACCGUCCUAAAAAAUUGCUACUAGUUGAUGUUCAGAAACUAUAACAGCAUACACCAUUGCACAAAGGGGAUUAAGAAAUCGAACAGGCAAAUAGGGAUGAAUUUUCUGUUGGUAAGGACACACAAAUUUAGAAUGCAUAUCGGGAUUAAACAGCUGCAGCGACCUGCAGUUUGGGAUCUAAACCCCCAAGUCGAUAUUCCUCUCUCCAAUCUGUGAUUACCACAUUUAUCCCCAAAUCCAUCCGAGCUGGAUGAACCAGCCAAACCAACCCACUCGUUACGGGGCACGCGCCAAACCAAACCCGACCCGAUCGCGGAAAGCAGCAACCCCAACAAAUAUCGCGUUGAUCAUCAUCGAGCUAAGACACCACCACCACCAUCACCGCUACCACACGAAUCUAGUGAGAGGGGAGGGGGGGAGGAGGGGGGGGGCGCGUACGGGUAGAGCGCGAAGGCUCGCUGCACGACGUAGACGGCGUUGUCGUACUUGGUCCGCAGGCGGCGGUCGCUGCUCCCCCGCACCGCCCGGUCGAUCUCCAUCCCCACACCUUACUCCUCCCUCCUCCUCCUCCUCCUCCUCCGGAGAGAUGCCGAGCCGGCGCGGAGAAACGACCAGGGGGGGCCUCUCCACCGCAGAGGAACACGGCCGCCGCCGCGGCGGAGGGGAGGGUGGAGAGCUCCGCCGCCUUCUACCGCCGCCGCCGCGGCGCUGCGUAGGAGGAGCGGGGAGGGGAGGGGAGGCUUGGCCUGGCCUCCACAAAGGGAAGGGAAGGGGAGGAGGGGAGUGGAUAGACGGGGGCACGUUUGCGGAUGCUGUUUCUGCGUCGGGGCCUUUUUUCCGCUUCGCUUUCGUUUCGAUGAUAGUACUCCUCUUUUCUAUCGUUCUCUUCUCCUUCUCCCACUCUUCCGAUGUUCUUCUCGUCUCGCGCGCGUUCGGGUAGGUGGACCCGGCACGCCGCUGACGUGGUGGUCUGGACCGGAAAUCCUCCGACUACUCCAUCCGUCCCAAAAUGUAGGAUGGGUUGUUUGGGCCUGUUUAGAUCCUCCAUAACUUCUUUUAACCUCUCACAUUGUUUGGAUACAUAUAUAAAAUAUUAAAUAUAGAUAAUAUAAAACACUAAUUACACAGAUUAUAGGUAAAUUACGAGACGAAUCUUUUAAGCCUAAUUGAUCAAUGAUUUGACGCUAAUGACAUAUUAAUUAGGCUUAAUAAAUUCAUUUCGCAAUUUACAUGCGGAUUCUAUAAUUUGUUUUGUUAUUAGACUAUACGUUUAAUACUUCAAAUGUGUAUUUGUAUAUCCGAUGUGACACGACAAAAUUUUUCACCCCUUGAUCUAAACACAGCCUUACUAUAUUUUAAGAUAGAGGUAGUAACCACUUACUUCCUCCGUCUCAUAAAAAACAAAUCUACAUCUAAGUACUAUGAAUUUAUAUAUAUAUAUAUAUAUGUAUAUAUAUAUAUAUAUGUAUGUAUGUAUGUAUGUAUGUAUGUAUGUAUUUGUAGUAUUAGAGCAAAUUUAAUAGUGUAGCCAACUAUUGACUCCAAAUCAUCUAUAGUUAACUUAAUAACCGAUUCAUACAAUAGUUACCUAUAAACAUAUACUACACAAUCAAUAUCUGGUCCCAUCUGUCAUACACACAUGCGUCUUGGAGUCCGUGCUACAGCUAGCAACAAAUCUGUAGCCCGCUGCUUUUAUCUCUCCUCUUUUAUCUCGUUAAAAUAUGUAUAUUAGCUGGCUUAUAGUUUGCUAUUGUACCUACUCUUAGUAUGUGUCACAUCCGGUAGCAGGUUGUUUUUUUAUGGGACGGAAGGAGUACAUUUAGGCCCGGGAAACGAUGGGGCUCAUAUAUCCAUGACUACAUCUCUCUAAUUUCACGUCGGAGGGUCUCUUUUCAUCUGAACCUUCUCCUGUCUGUUUACUCUUUUUUUUCAAAUAAGUGAGGCUCAUAUAUCGUUGUUUAUACUAUUACUGAUCUACGAAAGUAAUGGAUAGAAUAGUCAUCGAUGACAAAUAUGUAGCAUAAACAACAACGAGUAUUGAGAAAGUAGAAUCAACCAUGCUUGUAUGGUUGUAUGGUUUAAUCCUGAAUUUAUAUGUACAUAAGAAAAAGUUGACUUUAUUUGAUUGAUAUUCAUAUAUACUACUCCGUCCAAAAAAAAUAUUAAUUCUAGCUAUGAAUUUAAUUAUACAUAUAUCUAUAUACAUUGUUAGAAUUGUUUUUUUUUAUGGAACGGAGGGUAUACACAAUCUGAUGGCGUGCCAUUUCUUUAAUUUGGUGUAUAUAAAAGGACGACGGUUUGAACUAGCCUUGGGUAGGUUACUGCUUUACAUGCACUCCUUACCGGUCUGCAGAGAUUAGGUAGAUGUUGGUUGGAUUUUUGGAUGGGCAUGCACAUUCGCAUUGGCGAAUGGCGACCCAUGUAGCUAGCCAACGAGCAACAUCGUCCACAAAGAAACAAGCGAUUCUCGCAUUGUACAAAUGGACCAGCGUUGUGCCGUGGCGUGGCUGAAUUGAACACAAGCGUGAGAGAGAGUUCGUCACUCGACGGUAGUGACCAUACCAUUCGUUAAUGCAGUAGUAUACUGGAUUUUAUUUGGAAUUAAAAUAUCGUCUUGGAGAACGCAAGCCAAAGUUGAAAGAGAUGCUACCCAAACAAUCUCACACCGGUUAAUACUAAGUAAAGGGAAAAAAAAACAAAUUGAGAUGUAUUAGACAGUGCAGUGGUACGAAAUGUGUGGUUUUAACUAUGAGAUCUCAUGUUCAAUCUUUAGCACACUCAUAAUUUCUUCGUAAAAACUGUUUGGAGCGAAGGCUCUCCAUCCAAAUCUUGUUCUUCUUUCUGAAAAAAAUUGCAUAUUCUCAUCUUUUACAAUUAUAUAGGUACAAGUUCUCGACAAGAUUUUUCUGAAAUAAAGCAUAUUCUCAUCUUUUACAAUUAUACAGGUACAAGUUCUCAACAAGAUUAUGUGAGCAUUGAUACUCAUAGAGAGGUAUUGGUGAAUGAAUAUAUAUAGUGUCAAUUUUUGUGUCAAAUAUGAAUUUGCAAUCCCCCCCUAAGGUGGUGUUUGAGUCAUCUGAAGAUGAAGAUGAAGAUAAAUAUUAAGUGUUUCACGUAAAACGAGAUGAUAAUAACGUGUGAUUAAUUGAGUUUUAAUUAUUACAAACUUAAAAAUAGAUUAAUUUGAUAUUUUAGAGCAACUUUUAUAUAGAAAGUUUUCACACGAAAUACAUCGUUUAGCAGUUUAAAAAACGUGCCAUAUGAGUAUCUAAAAUUUCAUCCCAUCUUUUCAGUAGAAACGAACAGGACCUUAAAUCUCACGGUUGAAAUGUACUGUACUACAGUAAAAUUCACCGACUCAUCUGUUGUUGUCGUGGUUCAUCGGUACUCCCUUCGUCCCAUAAAAAACUAACAUAGUAUUAUAUGUGAUAUAUUUUAAUGCUAUGAAUGUGGACAUACCUCUGACCAGAUUCAUUGUAUUAGAAUAUGUCACAUCCAAUCCUAGAUUAUUUUUUAUGGGACGGAGGUAGUACUGCUGAUUAAUUGUUUGCAGUAUAUUUACCUUCCUCUUUUCUCUUAACUUUCUUUCCUCUGCUAGCCCUUUAAAGCGUUCCAUCUGAGAUACUCUCUCCGUCCUAAAAUAUAAAAACCUAUGACCAAUGUCCAGAUUCGUAGUAUUAGAAAAUAUCACAUUCAAUAUUAGAUUCUUAUAUUUUAGGAUAGAGGGAGUAUUAUGUAUGCCGGUUUAAGGGGUUGUAUGGUUAUGUACUAAGGUUGUAUAGAUUUGCCAUAUAUAUUUUUCAAGCUUGCCAAAGAUGAAACAAUCAAAAUUUUCACCAUGUCACAUCGAAUGUUUGAACACCUACAUAAAGUAUUAAAUAUAGGCUAAAAUUAACUAAUUGCACAGUUUGCGAGUAAUUUGCGAGAUAAAUCUUUUAAGCAUAAUUACUCCAUGAGUUGACAAUGUGGUGCUACAGUAAACAUUUGUUAUUGACAGAUUAAUUAGGCUUAAUAAAUUUGUCUGGCGGUUUACGGACGGAUUUUGUAAUUAGUUUUUUAUUAGUGGCUGAACACCCCAUGCGACACUCUAUAUAACACGCAAAAACUUUAAGCCCCUGGAUCUAAACACCCUCUAAGUGAAUAUUGCUGAAAUUUUUUUAGUCGCCGUCACAUGAGACCUGACCUAUAAACAUGCCUGAUCCACCACUCAGCUGUGCAUUUGGGACGCACGCUGCCAAAUAGAAGUGUACCUGGAAAUCUGGAAUCAUAUCAAGGGCAAAUGAAAUGCAUCAUCCAUUUGAAGGUUUACAUGAAAGAGUAGAAAAAUGAGCUGAAGGUCAGCAGGGAACAGCUAGGAGUAGAAUCUUGUUAGGUUACUACUACUCGUACUAAUUUGAUGUGAUAAAUUGCACUAUGACCCACAGGGGAUAAGGCUAUGUUUAGUUGGUGAAAUGAAAAUUUUUGGGUCACAUCGAACGUUUGACCGGAUGUCGAAAAGGGUUUUUGGACACGAAUAAAAAAACUAAUUUUACAACUCGCCUGGAAACCGUGAGACGAAUCUUUUGAGCCUAAUUAAUCCGUCAUUAGCACAUGUGGGUUACUGUAGCACUUAUGGCUAAUCAUGACCUAAGAGCACCCGCAAUGGUAAAGUAAGGUGCUCUCUAUAAAACAUGUACAUCUCAGCAAUAGACUAGAUUAAUAGUAAACCACCUCAAUAGUAUGUCUACAUGGGUAUCUAUAGCUCUCUCAUGCAUUGUCUCGUUUUUCUCUAUAGACUAUCUCUAAGUUGGUAGAUAGUUUUGCUCUCUCUCUUCAUUUAAUAUCUUCUAUGUAGGAAAAUAUGCUGACAUGGAUCUCUGGUAGAGAGCCUAUAGAUAACCAUUGUGGGUGCCCUAAUUAGACUCAAAAAAUUCGUCUCGCGAUUUACAUGCAAACUGUGCAAUUAGUUUUUUAUCUAUAUUUAAUGCUUCAUAUAUGUAUCCAAAGAUUCAAUGUGAUUUUUUUUAUCAAGAGACGCAAAGCAAAGAUUCAAUGUGAUGUUUUUUGGAAAAGUUGUUGGGACUAAACCGGGCCUAAACCUAACGUCUACCAAAAAGGUGUGACUAUUGAAAAUCAUAAAAGGCUGCAGUACUUGACCGUGCAGUACAUCAUUGUCACAGCAAAGCAUUAGAAUUGGCUCCUCUGAAAAGAGAAUGAAAGUCCGAUUGACUCGCAUGAUCAGGAGACAAUCCUGCAAGACCAAUUCAGGAAUGGAUUCACCCUCUUGAGAGAAGGACAGACAGGGGAAUUGUUUUUGACCAACCUCAAAUUGCACUACUGCAAAAGAAUCAAUCAAGGGACUCACCGCAUUCGGAUCGCCGUUUCUAGUGCCUAAAAAUUGCUUUGGUAGGCUUCUUCUUUGGGAAGGCUUCUAUGGCCAUAUUUGAGGAAUUUUUAACCUCCACAACUUCUCCUAAAAUCUUAAGCUCUUUUAAACAGUUAAUAUUCUCACUUAGAUUCCUAUUCUAGAAAAUGACAAGCCAAAAACUGAAAAACCUAAAUUUUCCAAAUUCUCACUAGCUGGAUUCUUACUGGUUGCUUCUUAAAAUUUUAAUCUUCCCAAACGGUAAGGUGAUUCUCACCAAAACGUUGUCAUCUUGUUGGUUGGAAUUUGGAACUAACUAUAUAUGCUAAAUAAUUGAAACAAUAGGUAGAAGGAAAUGUAAAGGUGUUUACAGUUGAAUAUUUGCCACCGUUGAAGCUGAAAGCAAUUUCCUCGAACCUGAACAAUGGACAAUGGAAAGUAUAAUUUGCAAAGGAGAAUAGUCAAAACAGUCUCUGAAGUUUUCCCUUUGAGGCCAAUCUAGUCCAUAACAUUUUUAAAAAAUUGUCACACGGCUAGUCCUUGAACCCACAGGAAACAAUACAUUAGCAAGCCACAUCAGCAAGCCGUUAAAUGUCCAAUCUACCCUUAGAUAUACCAUUAUUUUUUUAAAAAAUAAAAGAACAAAGAAGAAAAGAAAGAAAAAUAAAACAAAUGAAAAAAAUAAAGACAGCACGGAUACAAUAACGUUGGGGUUGGGUCAAUCCUUUUGUCUUUUUUUAUAUUUUUAAUGAUAAAUGUAAAGGCGGAGAAACGCCCAGGGGUUUUUCGGCUAGCUCCACAAUGUGGUGGGCUAGAUGACCUGAGUUCGAAGCUUCACCCCUUCUAGUUAUUUGAUAUUAGGUGUUUCCCUAAUAUGCGUGUCGUUAUAAAUGUAAAGGUGGUUUGGACAUUUACGGCCCCAUCGUUUGGCUUAAUCGUGAAAUAAGCCGACGACGAGCGUGCCGAUGUUGUGUGGCGAGAAGAGAGGAAGAAGAGAGGAGGGAGGAGAGAAUGAAGAUGACAUGUGAGUCUCACAUGGGGCCAUCAUUUUUUUAAUCAUUUUCUAGUAUAACUGACACAUGGGUCUCACAUUUUUAUUUUAUUUUUAUCAAAUUGCCACGUAAACGUCACAUUAAUACCACAUGAGAUAAAAACAUAGUCAAAGGAGCCACAUAGAUGCCAUGCCAAUCAAAACCAGUAACAAUACUGCCGAGGGACCUUGUUUGCACUGGUUUUAUAAGUUAGGGGAUGGAUUGUACCUGUUUUUGUGGUUAAAGGAUGAUUUUGUAAUUAAGUGACGGGAUCUCUGGUGUACUUUUUCCAAACAUUUAAGAGUUGCGAAAAAACGUUCUAUGGGCCCUGACCCAUUACCACACCUACGUGGAAAAAGUAUAUCAAAGGUCCCUCAACUUGUCAUCGGGAUAAAAAACGUCCUCGAACCGCAAAACAGAUAUGCGGGGUCCCUUAACUGUACAAAACCGGUCACCCGAGGUUCUUCGGUGGUUUUGACUCCGGUUUUGGUCUACGUGACGGCUGAGUCAGAGUGGAACCCACGUGGGCCCCACAUGUUAGGUGUCCACUUCAUCUCUCUCCCUUCCUCCUCUCUCUCCCUCUCUCACUUCUCUCCUCUUGGGCAGGCCAUGUCAAGCGCCGCGGCCACCACCACGGCGACCUGCGGCAGCAAGGGGCAGGCGCAGCGGAGCGGGACGGUGAGGUUGUCACCGACGGUGGGCUCCUACAGCAUCGCCAGCCGCACGUGAGGAUACCUUCGGAGGCGGCGGCGACGGUGAGGAGGAGGGGGAGGUGGGCGACGCAGUCCUCCGUCGGCGGCGAGGAUGGGGACGCCGCCAUGGUCGUCUCGCCGCACAAGGUUGUCGCGCGGCGCGCCGCGGCGCACAGCUCGGUGCUGGAGGGCGCCGGGAGGAUGCUCAAGGGCUGCGACCUCCACCACGUCCGCAACGCCGUCCUGUGCCGCACUGGAUUCCUCGACUGAGAGGGCGGAAGCGAGUCGUCUCGUCGCUUUGGGGAUAAAAUUUUUGACCCUUUCUUUCUUGAGAAAAUUCGAUCCAUAGCACAGGAAAGAAAGCGGUACCAAAAAAUAGCACAAAAAGUUUCCACUUUCGAUCCAUAGCAUAGGCCACCGAUUUUUCUUCGCCCUAUAGCACUUCUGUCACAUUUUGAAGUAACGGUGUUAGAUCAGUGUGGAGAAAUUUUUUGUCGGACACAUUUGCCCUUCGUUCCCCACAUUCCCCAACAGGGCUCCUCUUUCGCUCCCUCGUGAAUGGCAGCGCGGCAGCCAUCGGCUUGCCUGGAGACCGGCUCGCCGUCACCGCCGACGGUGAGGUGGACCCUGUCUGGCACUCGGCGCUGUUGAUCGAGGGCAAGCCUCCCGCGCCGGCGGCAGCUUGACGACGAGGACGACGACGAUGACGUGGGCGGCCCUAGCUUCGGCAUGGAUGGAUGUGGCCCGUAGUUGCCGUACUCGGCGCCAGAACAACCUCUCCCUCGCCACGGUGCCGCAGCGCGCUGGCUUGCCACUACUUCCACGUGACAAUGACGACGAUGACAGCGACGGGGACGAUGACCUGCAGCGGGGCUGUGGCGCGCGCUGGCGGAUGUUGGGAUGAUUCGUGAGUGGGCGGACUGCGGGCUUUGUCGGCUCCGUGACCUUGGGCGGCGACGCCGCUAACGAAUAGGCGGCCAGGAGCCGGCAGGCCGGAAGCGCGGCGUCUCCACCUCCUCCUCCACCGCCUUCCUCCCGUGCGGAUCUGGCCGGUGCUCCACCCCACACGCGCGAAUCGUUCGGCGGCGUGGCGGAUCUGGCGCGAGCAACGGUGGGAGGCAUGGUGGCGGGUGCCGAUCGGGAGCGGCUGAGCGGGCGGGUGGGAGGGAAGCGCGGCUCCGUCAGCUCACCAAGCGUCGGCGACACGGGCGCGGCAACAUCACCAAGGGAGAAGAGCGCUAGGUCGGGGAAGAAGGGCAAAUGUGUCUUUUUUCAUGUCAACUCACAUGUUUGGAUGGCAAAUGUGACGGAAGUGCUAUGAAUCGCAAGAAAAUUGAUGCCAUGUGCUUUUAGUCGAAGUGAAAAAUUUGUUGUGCUAUUUUUUGGUACCAGGUUUUUUCCUGUGCUAUGAUCGAAUUUUCUCUUCUUUCUUUGAUUUUGUUCCCCUCAGUUGUGUGUUUCCGGCUAUCUUGAUUUCUUCCCUUUCGUUGGAAUGGGAUGGAAAGAAUUGAGGCGAGUUUGCGAGGCAGAGAACACGAUAAAGAACGUACAUGGCGGGGGAGGCGGGGGAGGAUGGGCACGGGGGAGAGCGGGCAAGCGAGGACGGGGAGCAGCACGCGGAGGUCGGCGGCGGGCCGGGCGUCUUCCCCGGCGCUGGAGAGCAAGCGUGCCACCCAGUGCAGCGCCGCCUGCAGUCCCGACUUCCAUCGCGCCACCUCCGCCUCCCCGAGGUGUUCGGCCAUGGGCGUGGCCGGGAACUCGACCUCCACCUUCCUGGCCUUGGCGGCCGCAGCGGCCAGCGACCUCGGGGAGGUGACGUCCAGGGUGAGGAGCUCGCCCAUCUCCUUCUGCUUCGCAGAGCAGACGCGGCGGCGGUGGCCACCUCGGACGGCGAGGUGGCAGAGCGCGGCAGGGACGCAGACGACCGCGAGGACGACGAGCUCGGCAACGGUGAAAGGGAAGCAACAGCAAACCACGGACGGCGCCUUCCUCCCCAUAUGCCCUCGCUCCUGUCCUAUCUGCCUCCUCCUACUCCGUGCCCUCGCGCCGGCCUCUCCCGUGCCACCCUCGCCGCCAACGCCGCCGACGAGGCCCGCGUCCUCAUCCCUCGCGCCCGGAGCCGCCGCCGAUGACAAGGCCGGGUGGCGCGGACUUGUCGGCGCCGCCUCUCCCCAUCCGCAGCCGCGCUCGCCCGCCGCCGCCGCCGCCGCCGCCGCCGCACCGCCACCGCUCUCUCCCGCCGACGCCACACCGCUCUCGCCCGCCGACGCCGCCUCUCCGCAGCCGUGCUCGCCCAGUCGCCCAGAGAAGAUAAGAGAGGAGUGAGAGAGAGAGAGGAGAAAGGGAGAGGAGGGGAGAGGGUGGUGACGUGGCCAGCUGACAUGUGGGGCCCACGUGGGUCCCACGUUGACUCAGCCGCCACGUAGACCAAAACCGGGGUCAAAAACACCCAAGGAUCUCAGGUGACCUGUUUUGUAUAGUUAAGGGACCCCGUAUAUCUGGUUUUGCGGUUCGAGGAUGUUUUUGGUAUCCCGAUGACAAGUUGAGAGACCUUCAGUGUACUUUUUCCCACCUACGUAAGCUGCCUAGCCCAUUUGCAAGUUGCGAUGGGCUUGGCCCACUUAAGAAAACCUAAGCCCCCCCCAUUGCUACCUUCUCACUCCCUGUCCUCCCAAGUCCCAAUCCCCAGCCGCCACCCACACACAAGCGCGCCGUUGGCCGUCGCCGCUGCACGCCGGCGCCACGCCACCUCGUGGCCUUCGCCGCCGCACGCCUCCCUGACCCGGAUUCCGGAGUCCAGCCGCUGCUCGCCGUCGCCAGCUCAUCUUCGCGGGCUCGCUUUUGCUCUCGGCGCAGCGGCGCGGCGCGGGCGGUGGCCGGUGGCCGGUGCCCUCGCCGACUCGGCUUUGAGUCGCCUCGCCUCUCCACCUCUGAUCCUACUCCGGCUCUCCGGCGACACCGCUCCUCAAAAAAAAAAAAAAACGUCGCCUCGCCGACCACGAUGAGGAGGUUUGUUCGUUUUUUUUUUCUCAUUUUCUGACGCAGUGUAGGCGUGUAGCAGUAUCGUGCUUAUUUUGAGAUGAACCAUGGCACUUCAUUGAUUAAGUAAGUAGCAUCUGUACAGAGGACAUCCCGGAUACACUCCAAGAAUUACAUCUCGAAUGACGUUGAUGAGGAAAAUUGCCUGGGCAGCAGCGUUUUAAAUAGCAGGCUAAGACAUUUAGCGGUUAGUCUUCUCGGACAGAUCGUCACCUUGUAGCAGUGCUGCACAAUCAUGUUGACAUAUGCCACUGUCUUCUGUCCCACUUUACGCAGAUGCAAGGAGGAGGACUUGUUCCUUGAAUCAUUCCUCGCCUCCCAAAUGUCCCAAAGGGUGACUGCUAACACUGUGUUUUGGAGGCACUAACUCCUCUUCAUGAAAUCUGAAAUCCACUGUCUCAUACUUGUUAGUUCGUCCCUGCAUAAACUAAUCGGGAAAGUUGAUCUCACUUCGUCCCACACAGCAGUUGCGAAGGGGCACAAUAGGAGAACGUGUUUGAUAGUCAAAGCCACAUCUGAAUAACAAUUUUAAAAGCAGGAAUGCUUUUGUUUGAGCAUUGCAUUUAUCUACAGUAAAGCUAUGCAAUAUUUGUUCAGAACGAAACUUAUUAGGUGGAUUUGCAACUUUUAAUGGUAUAUCGAAUUUGUGGAUUUGGUAGUUCUGAUUCCUCUCUGAAUAACAGAUUAACAGUUAUGCCUCAAAUAUGAGAUAAGAGAGGUUGGAAAAUUAUAGUUGUGGAUUUUUGGAUUGAAUUCAGUAGCUCAUUUUGUUUCAAUUAUACACUUGUUGGUAAGUUUUUGCAUUGUCUGUAAUUUAUUUUUAACUUUGCUGCAACCAACCAUUGUAGCUAUGAGCCUGGACCAGCAUUUGAGGAGAACAGCGAAGAGGCUAUGCUUGACAUAUCACAAACAGAGUCAACGGAACUUUGGCUAAUACAGUGGCCUCUAAAUCAGGUUAUGCGGAUAUUAUUUUCAUUAUGUGCCAGGUGGCAUGCUGCACAAGGGAUCUCGAAUUUAACGUUUUUCUGUGUUGCAUGCAGUUAGAUGCGUCUGAUUUUCAUGGUCAAGAACUUACUCUUAAGUUGCACCGUGAUGGAAAAUUGAGCAGUUUGGAGAGUUCCUCGGGUAAGAUAUAUUCGAUGAACUAUGUUGCACCUGAUCGAUUAUGUCUUUUGAAGGUUUUUCAGCUUUCUGUACAGUCGGAUUGGAUGCAACCUGUAUUUGCUCAUGCAAUCACACUUUGACCUUAUUGAUUAGUUUUUCCCAAAGUGGGCACCUAGACUUCUCAUUACUAAUCCCAAACAAUGUUAAUCCUAUCAAUGGAACUGCUUCCAUUUCUAUGGUCAAGCUUGCCUCUCAUUUUUGUAUGAAGAUGAAGUCAAUGCUGGUUCAUUGAUGACUAGUAGUGUUUUGCAGAUCUUUAGGCAACAAAUGAACAAAUGGAAUUAAGGUGCUAUAAUUUAGUUUACAUAUAGAAGUUUUUAUGUUUAGUGUAUGUUCAGAAGUUUGAUUGGUGAAGUGAAAUCUGCUCUCAGCUUCCUCGUAUAAUAAUCCGUGAUUUGAAGCUAGAAUGAUAACAUUCAUCAGUAAGACUACUAGCAGUAGGCUACUAGGUUUUCUAACUUCUUUUUCUUGGUUAAGAUCGUCAGUUCGUCGCUUUUAAAUUAUUGUGGCAAUAACAAUUUAAAUUUUAAAGUUCUCCCAAAAGUUUGAGCUGUACUUGUUAUACUUAAUUUGGCAGGGAAGUCUUAUGAUCUUGUCAGCUUUGCUGCUCAGCAACCAGAUGCAACUGUUUUCCUUCCAUCCGGACCAGAAGCAAAAGCUGGUAUGCUGAAAUACCAACUUUGCAGUUUAUUUCUGCAGUAUUUUACUAUUUUGCAUGGAUGUUGUUUUUACUUGUUAUCGGUCUUGUUAAAUUGAGCUGUUUGUUGACCUAUUUGAUUUUGUGAUUUUGGUCGUGCUUGAUAGCACAAUCGGUAGAACACAUCUAUCAUUUCUUCCUUUCCUGGGAGGCAGCUAAUAUUGUUCUUUUAACUUACUGUAUGCAUAUUGUUCUUUUAAUCCUAAAAAAAUUCCAGUUGGGAAGAUUGCACGUCGAGUUAGCUUAGUUCGUUAUCCUGACCCUGAAGAACUGGAGAAGCCAGGUUUGGGGAGUCUCACUCCUAGCAGUAAGAAAUCUGCAGGUGAGUACAUUUUCUCAGGCAUCUUUUUAUAAUGAUGCCACUCUUCUGCUGUCUAUGGUGAAUGUAUUAUAUAGACUUGACAAGCAUGAUAUGCCAUUCCAUUUGAACUAGUCAAUAACUUAGACUUGUGUAGGUUUAGCCUCCUGUUUUAACUAGAAAUCCAGUAUCACCAGAUUUAACUUUGUAAGUGCAUAUUACUGUUCAAUCUUUUCACAUUGACAGUAAUGAGGUGAUGAACAUACUAUUUGUCUUAAGAUUUUUGGGCACCAUUGAAAGUUGACAUUAGCCAAAUUCCUGAUAUAUAUUAUUGAAGACUCAUGCCAAUGAUGCAAUGCAUGCUCUUGUAUUAUAAGAUGGAAGAACUGUUCUGAGAGAGAAAUACUAAGCUCAUCUCUGUAGUUUCUAUUUCUGUUGGUUAAGGUAUGCACUUUCAAUUAAUAAAGGUUUCCAGCCAACAGCUGAAGUGUUUUCUCUUUUUCUAUCAUAAACAGAACACUUUGGUAAACAGUAGUUGCUCUCACUGAUCUGAAUUUGUCCGGUCUUCCAGGUUCUUCAAAGAAGACGAGGUCUCGGUUCACUAGCGGGUCGAAGAACCGCAGCAGCCAAGGCUCAGCGCAAUCGCUGGGCCAACAGAGUGCCGAGCCCGCGCACAAGCACAAUCAGAAGAGAAAGGAUGAGAGCAGUUUGGGGCACUCGAAUGUAUCGGGCAAGUCGGCCGAAGGAUCCCAGGUUCGUGGUGGCGACAGCGGCACGACCUCGGAGGUUCCUCAGACGCCUGUGGAGAAAUCCAAGAAGAAGAACAAGAAGGUUAGGAUCGCCGAGUAAGCAGUAUCAUCGUAGCUCAGGGGGUCAGGAGAAGAGAGGUUAAUUUUCCCUGAACUGUCAGCAUCCCCCGGAGCUUUGCAAGAAAGGCGCAUUUUGUUUGGCUCAGUUGCAUUUUUGCGAUGAGGCUCGAGUGCCAUAGCACCUUUUUUUGUUUUUUUUUUGAAGAAAUGCUGAAACGACGCUAUUUUACUACUCCAUCCGUUUCACAAUGUUAGUCAUUUUAGCAUUACCCACAUUCAUAUUGAUGUUAAUGAAUCUAUCUAUUGAUAGCAUCAAUAUGAAUGUGGAAAAUGCUAGAAUGACUUACAUUGUGAAACUGAGGGAGUAGUAUCUUUGGUCCUAGCUCAGCUAAGAAAAUGUGCGUAGAAAGAAGAAACUGUGCAAUCACACGAGCUGAGGAUUGGGCCAUUUUGUUGGUCCAAUCGUAAUUUGUACGUGUAGACCAAUAUUCAAAAGUGCAUUUUCGUAUAUAAUUGUAGUUUCAGUAUGUCGUAUAAGCAUUAUAUAAUUGUAGUGCAUUUGAGAUACCGUAUGGGUGACCAAAACCAAGGACCAAGGUCAUGGCACAAUUUAAAAUCCAAGAUUUAUUGAAGCUAGAGAGCUAUGAUGGCAUUUAGAUGAAUUAUUUUGUUUCUUUUCAUAAAACUUGAAGUUUUAAACCAAUGCAAUUUUUCAGGCUUAUAAAUUUGGGAAAAUUGGUUAUAUAGCAUUGAAAGUUAACGUUUUUGGUUUUAUAGCACCGAAAGAUACCGGUUUCAGAGCUUAGAGGUAUGCCUAAUAAGGUGUGUGUGAAACUGUGCAUGCGUCUCUCCAGAGAAUGUGAGGCAUUUGGAUUUAUCCAAACCGUCCUGGGACUGGUUCCUGGAACUGGUUUUAAGCCUUUUAGGAGAUGAGAUAUUGCAUUGUUACAGGUUUCAAGGGUUUGUUCACUUUGCUACCAUUUUCAAUAUUAUCUUUUUUUGGCAAAGUUACAAAAAAAAGUGGCUAUAUUUUUUUAGUAAGUACAUAUAAAAUCUUGCCAAAAUUUUAGGGCCUGUUCACUUUGAUGUCAUUUUCAACCUUACCAAGUGAGAAUGUGAGGCAUUUGGAUUUUGGAAAUCCAAACCGUCCUGGAACUGGUUUUAGCCUUUUAGGAGAUGAGAUAUUGCAUUGUAACAGGUUUCAAGGGUUUGUUCACUUUGCUACCAUUUUCAAUAUUAUCUUUUUUGGGGCAAAGUUACCAAAAAAAGUGGCUAUAUUUAGUUUGUUGCUAAAUUUUAGUAAGUACAUAUAAAAUCUUGCCAAAAUUUGGCAACCUUACCAAAAUUUUAGGGUCUGUUCACUUUAAUGCCAUUUUUAACCUUACUAAGUUUUAGUAAAGUUGCUAAAAAAGUGGCUACAUUUAGUUUGCUGCUAAAUUUUGGUAACUAUAUAAGAAAUUCUGCCAAAAUUUGGUAAGAUUUUUUUUGCAUCAAAGUAAAUAGGCCCUUAGCAAUCUUAUCAAAAUUUGGCAAUACCAAAACUUGGUAAGUUUGAAAAUGAUAGCAAAGUGAACAAACUAAGGUUAAGAGAGGGUACGAUUUAAACUAAUCUUAGAUAAGGGACCAAAUGCGAUUCCCAUGGGCUUGGGCUUUGGGCCCUUGCGAAACCCUCGCAACAGCUGGACCGCCCGUGGAAGAGACGGACACCGUACGAUCGCCAUAAAACAGCCCAAGAACUCGAUCGGACGGCUGUCGUUGAUUCCUCCCUCUAUAAAUCCCCACCCAAACCCUACCAAUAGCUCUCACCUCUCAUGCCGUCUUCACCUUCGCUCUUCGUUGCGGCGCUCAAGGCCCCUCCUCCUCCGGAUUUGGAUUCGGUUUGUGAUCCUGAUAGGUGUUCUUCCCAACCAUAAGUGUUUAAUCCAAUAUAUUUUCAUUUGACUUGAUGCGUUGCUUGCUGCUUUCUUGCGUCGUCUCGAUUCAACUGUUUCCCGUUUUUCUUCUCUGAACCGAGCAAUGGCUGCGCUAUGAAUUUGGAUUUGAAUUUGAAUUUUUUUUACAACAACGCACAUGUAAAGAGUCCCCGGGUUCUUGAUCCUGAAUACCCGGGUGCCUAACCUUGGUGUGCGAGAGCUAAACCUUCGCCGGCUAUCCACGCUUCCUACCAGCAGGCGGGCGCUUCUUCGCCCUGUUCGCUUCUCGCGUGAUUCGCCGCAC